This is a non-coding RNA of Xyrichtys novacula (pearly razorfish), 52998 nucleotides long. The record is from the annotation of a GenBank genome assembly. Lineage: Eukaryota; Metazoa; Chordata; Actinopteri; Labriformes; Labridae.
UGUUUGUUGAACUUGAGUUUGUGUCUUUUUGAACUUGAGUUUGUGGUGUUUUUGAACUUGAGUUUGUGUCGUGUUUGAAGUUUGUGACAACUUAUGAACUUGAGUUUGUUUCGCUUGAUUUUUUGGCAAUUGUUGAACUUGAGUCUUUGGUUUUUAGUGAACUUUAGUUGGUGGCAAUUGUUGAACUUGAGUUUGUGGCGUUUGUUGAACUUGAGUUUGUGGCGUUUGUUGAACUUGAGUUUAUUAUGUUUUUUGAACUUGAGGUUCGGGUGUUUUUGAACUUGAGUUUGUGUGUUUUUUGAACUUGAGGUUGUGGAAAUUGUUAAACUUGAGAAUCGGGUGUUGCUUGAACUUGACUUGUUGUGUUUGUUGAACUUGAGUUUGUGUCGUUUUAGAACUUGAGUUUGUGUGGUGUUUUUGAAGUUGAGUUUGUGGCGUUUGUUGAACUUGAGUUUGUGGCGUGUUUGAACUUGAGUUUGUGGUGUUUUUUGAACUUGAGGUUGUGGAAAUUGUUAAACCUGAGAAUCGGGUGUUGGUUGAACUUGAAACUGUGACAUUUGUUGAACUUGAGUUUGUGGUGUUUGUUGAACUUGAGUUUGUAUCGUGUUUGAACUUAAGCUUGUGGUGUUUGAUGAACUUGAGUUUGUGGCAAUUGUUAACCUUGAGUCUGUAUUUUUCUCUGAACUUUACUUGGUGGCAAUUGUUGAACUUGAGUUUGUGGUGUUUGUUGUACUUGAGUUUGUGGCGUGUUUGAACUUGAGUUUCUGUUGGUUUUGAACUUGAGGUUGUGGAAAUUGUUAAACUUGAGAUUUGGGAUUUGGUUGAACCUGAGUUUGUGAAUCGUGUUUGAACUUGAGUUUGUGGUGUUUUUGAUCUUGAGCUUUUGUGUUUUUUGAACUGAAGUUCGUGGCAAUUGUUAAACUUGUGACUUAGGUGUUGGUUGAACUUGAGUUUGUGGUGUUUUUGAACUUGAGUUUGUGAAGUGUUUGAACUAGAUUUUCUGGUUAUUUUUUAACUUGAGUCUGUGUGUUUUUCUAACUUGAGGUUGUGGAAAUUGUUAAACUUGCGAAGUGGGCAUUGGUUGAACUUGAGUUCGUGUGUUUGUUGAACUUGAGUUUUUGUCAUUUAGAACUUGAGUUUGUGGUGUUUUUGAACUUGAGUUUUUGGCGUUUGUUGAACUUAAGUUUUUGUCGUUUUGAACUUGAGUUUGUGGUGUUUUUGAACUUGAGGUUUUGGCAGAUGUUAAACUUGAUAUUUGGGUGUUGUUUGAACUUGAGUUUUUGUCGUGUUUGAACUUGAGUUUGUGUCGUGUUUGAACUUGAGUUUGUGUCGUGUUUGAACUUGAGGUUGUGGAAAUUGUUAAACGUGAGAAUUGGGUAUUGGUUAAACUUGAGUUUGUGUGUUUGUUGAACCUGAGUUUGUGUCGUGUUUGAACUUGAGAUUUUGCUGUUUUGUGAUCUUGAAUUUGUGUGGUUUUUUUUUUACUUGAGUUUUUGGUGUUUUUGAAUUUGAGUUUCUGUUGUUUUUGAACAUGAGGUUGUGGCAAUUUGUUAAACUUGAGAUUUGGGUGUUGGUUGAAAUUAAGUUUCGGCAUUUUUGAACUUGAGUUUGUGGUGUUUUUGAACUUGAAUUUGUGUGUUUUUUGAACCUGAGUUUGUUGAACUUGAGUUAAUGACAUAUCACGGUUUUCUAUUUCACCUCAUCAACAUACAGAAGAAAGUAAAGAGGUCUUUCAUCGUGUUUGUGCAUUGUCUCUCCAUUUUAACAAACAUUUUUUACAGGCCAAGGGAGCUGCAGUAACAUCCUUUUAUUAAUCAAGUGCGACAAAUUUUAGAGUUUGAUAAGAAAUGAGAAAACUAAUGAUCCACACUGAAAAACGGUCGUGAUUACAAUAAACUUUGAGAUGCUGAUUUUUUUAUUUUAUUUUUUUGCAACUAAAUUACAUUUUUUUUGUCCUUCUGUCUUCUCCCUCUUACUGAACUCCUCAACGCUAUUUCUACUGCGGGCCCUGUUCACUGUUGGCAACUCAGCUGUAAGUUCACAAAUAAAGUAACUUUAAAAUAUAUUUUCACUGUUACUUUUUGCAACACAUUAUCUAAAAACCUGACCUAAAUAACACUUUAUUUUAACUAAUGCAGAACUAAAUGUAAAUAAUUUUGCUGGCUGAUCACAGUUGGAAUUACAAUGCAGUGAGAUGUGCUGGUUUUGUACAAUUAAACUAAAAAUCUCUUGUCUCUGUUUUUCCAUUUUCCUUCUUGCCAACUCGAUACUGUCUCCAAGUGCAGACCGCUUUGUGGCGACUUGACGUAAGUUCACACAGGAAUGACAUUUUCAUGAAUAUUUUUUAUAAUAUUAUAUAUAUAUAUAUAUAUAUAUAUAUAUGUUUAUCCUUCUAAGGUACCUUGCUUGCAUCUGUUGACAGCUCAUGGAGCUGCUUGGCCUCAUUAUAACUUAUUACUUAGUUGGAAAACUGAAAACACAGUAAAGGAAAUUACAUUUCCUAAAAUACAUUAUUAGGGCCCGAGCGUAGCUGCUAAGCAGCUGCGAGAGCCCUAUUAUUCCCCAAGUGGUUUUUCUUUGUUUCUUUUUAGGGCCCGAGCCAGCUGCAGAGCAGCCGGGCGUAGGCCCUAUUAUUCCCCAAGUGGUUUUUCUUUGUUUCUUUCUUUAGGGCCCGAGCGUAGCUGCUAAGCAGCUGCGAGAGCCCUAUUAUUCCCCAAGUGGUUUUUUAGGGCCCGAGCGUAGCUGCUAAGCAGCUGCGAGAGCCCUCUUGUUCCUGUAGUUUCCUUCUUUUGUUAUUAUUAUUUUUCCUCCCCUUUGAACUGGAAAAUGGCCCACUUCCCACUGGCGAAAACUCAUGAAAUUUGGCAGGACGACCGGGCCUGGUGAAAAAUUUGAUAUUCCGAAGUCGCCCAAACAAUAAAAUGCAAAAUGGCUCCAUAGCGCCCCCUAAGGUGAAAAUUCACACUAUUCACUGUCACGCUGGUACGCUUUGUCAAAAUGACACAAAAAUUGACACACACAUGUAUCUCAAUAAGAUCUACAAAAAAGUCAGUGCGGGCGUAUCUGUCAAAUGUACGGUUAAAGGGUUAUUUCGCAUUUUUUGCCGAUCCGCACACAUUGGAAUUUCGCUAACUCCUCCGAAGGCUUUCGUUCCACCGGCACCACAUUUGCUCAGGCCAAUCUACACCCCAUGGCCAUUAAAAGUUAUUCAAAUCAUGACGCUGCACCCCAUGGUUUAGGUUCUAGGGGGCGCCAAAGAUAACCCUAAGAUCCACAUAUUUAAAAGUCUUAUAACUUUUUAUUUUUGCCCUCACUGGCCUCCAAGUUUUCUAGGAUGAUGCAAUGUCCAGCCAUCAACACAUUUGUGAAGGAAUUUUUACUCCCCAAAAGAGCGCCCCCCAUGGCAGGAGAAAAAAGUCCAUUUUUUCUUGUCCCCUAAGGUGAAAAUACACAUUGUUGAGUGUCACGCCUAUACGCUUUGUCAAAAUGACACAAAAAUUGACACACACAUGUAACUCAAUAAGAUCUACGAAAAAGUCAAUGCGUGCGUAUCUGUCAAAUGUACGGUUAAAGGGUUAUUCCGCAUUUUUUGCCGAUCCGCACACAUUGGAAUUUCGCUAACUCCUCCGAAGGCUUUCGUUCCACCGGCACCACAUUUGCUCAGGCCAAUCUACACCCCAUGGCCAUUAAAAGUUAUUCAAAUCAUGACGCUGCACCCCACGGUUUAGGUUCUAGGGGGCGCCAAAGACAACCCUAAAAUCCACAUAUUUAAAAGUCUUAUAACUUUUUAUUUUUGUCCUCACUGGCCUCCAAGUUUUCUAGGAUGAUGCAAUGUCCAGCCAUCAACACAUUUGUGAAGGAAUUUUUACUCCGCAAAAGAGCGCCCAUCCAUGGCAGGAGAAAAAAGUCCAUUUUUUCUUGUCCCCUAAGGUGAAAAUACAUAUUGUUGAGAUUCACGCCUAUACGCUUUGUCAUAUUGACACAAAAUUUGACAAUCAUGUGUAUCUCAAUUAGAUCUACGAAAAAGUCAAAGAGCGCGUAUCUGUAUAAUGUACGGUUAAAGGGCUAUUUUGCAUUUUUUGCCGAUUCGCACACAUUGGAAUGUGGCUAUCUCCUCCUAAGGCUUUCGUCCCACCGAUACCAAAUUUGCUCAGGGCAAUCUACACCCCAUGCCCAUUCAAAGUUGUAAAAAUCAUGACGCUGCACCCCACGGUUUACGUUCUAGGGGGCGCCAAAGAUGACCCAAAAAUCCACAUUCUUAAAAGUCAUUUUGGCCACUGCAGGAGUACAGAGUACUGCAGUUCUAGGGGGCGCCAAAGAUGACCCAAAAAUCCACAUUCUUAAAAGUCUUUUUGGCCACUGCAGGAGUACAGAGUACUGCAGGAUACACACACAUAUACACACACGCCAACAUACACACACACACACACACACACACACACACACACAGACACACACACACACUCAGAGUCUGUUUUUUAGCACCUGCAAAAACAUGCUGUUUACAUAUUUGACAAGAAUGCAGAGGCUUCCUUUUGCCCCUGAAAAAAAUCAAAUUUCAAACACAACUUGACUGGUCAUUUCUCCAAAAGACAACCAUGAAUCAAAUUUCAAACACAACUUGACUGGUCAUUUCUCCAAAAGACAACCAUGAAGCUCCAUCCAAACCUGAAGCAGGCAGUUGGUGCAUGUGUACAGUAACCUGAGGGGAGUGAGGUGACUGCUUCUGAGGAGAACAUGAGCACUGAAGAUUCACCUUGGAGCUAGAACAGGGACGUGCACAUGAUAAUACAGGGGCAGGGGCUCAAGUUUUUUCCAGUCGUUUAUACAAUAUGGAAAUUAAUGUGAAAUUAAAAAACAAAGUAUGACUGUCCUGUGUAGGUGACAGUGAUAUCCAAUAGACUAGGCACUCACGAGGCUGGCUGUGGCAAGUGUAAGUGAAAGCAACACGCACUGGCAGGAAGAACAGCAAACGCCGAUGAAGGAAAAGGGUCUUUGCAGUGAUGGGCGUUACCAGAGAGGGCGAUGGCCAGAGGACACGAAUGGGACGGGGAGGCAGCGCGUUGGGGGGGGGGGGGGGGGGGGGGGCGCGACACGGCUCGGGCCCGCCAGUGCCCCAACGGGGCCCUAGUCUUUGUUUCUUUCUUUCUUCUUUUUCCUCCCCUUUGAACUGGAAAAUGGCCCACUUCCCACUGGCGAAAACUCAUGAAAUUUGGCAGGAUGACCGGGCCUGGUGAAAAAUUUGAUAUUCCGAAGUCGCCCAAACAAGAAAAUGCAAAAUGGCUCCAUAGCGCCCCCUAAGGUGAAAAUUCACACUAUUGACUGUCACGCCUUUACGCUUUGUCAAAAUGACACAAAAAUUGACACACAUAUGUAUCUCAAUAAGAUCUACAAAAAAGUCAGUGCGGGCGUAUCUGUCAAAUGUACGGUUAAAGGGUUAUUUCGCAUUUUUUGCCGAUCCGCACACAUUGGAAUUUCGCUAACUCCUCCGAAGGCUUUCGUUCCACCGGCACCACAUUUGCUCAGGCCAAUCUACACCCCAUGGCCAUUAAAAGUUAUUCAAAUCAUGACGCUGCACCCCACGGUUUAGGUUCUAGGGGGCGCCAAAGAUAACCCUAAAAUCCACAUAUUUAAAAGUCUUAUAACUUUUUAUUUUUGCCCUCACUGGCCUCCAAGUUUUCUAGGAUGAUGCAAUGUCCAGCCAUCAACACAUUUGUGAAGGAAUUUUUACUUCCCAAAAGAGCGCCCCCCCAUGGCAGGAGAAAAAAGUCAAUUUUUUCUUGUCCCGUAAGGUGAAAAUACACAUUGUUGAGUGUCACGCCUGUACGCUUUGUCAAAAUGACACAAAAAUUGACACACACAUGUAUCUCAAUAAGAUCUACAAAAAAGUCCGUGAGCGCGUAUCUGUCAAAUGUAAGGUUAAAGGGUUAUUCCGCAUUUUUUGCCGAUUCGCACACAUUGGAAUUUCGCUAACUCCUCCGAAGGCUUUCGUUCCACCGGCACCACAUUUGCUCAGGCCAAAUUACACCCCAUGGCCAUUAAAAGUUAUUCAAAUCAUGACGCUGCACCCCACGGUUUACGUUCUAGGGGGCGCCAAAGAUAACCCAAAAAUCCACAUUUUUAAAAGUCUUAUAACUUUUUAUUUUUGUCCUCACUGGCCUCCAAGUUUUCUAGGAUGAUGCAAUGUCCAGCCAUCAACACAUUUGUGAAGGAAUUUUUACUCCCUAAAAGAGCGCCCCCCCCAUGGCAGGAGAAAAAAGUCCAUUUUUUCUUGUCCCCUAAGGUGAAAAUACACAUUGUUGACUGUCACGCCUGUACGCUUUGGCAAAAUGACACAAAAAUUGACAAUCAUGUGUAUCUCAAUUAGAUCUACGAAAAAGUCAAAGAGCGCGUAUCUGUAUAAUGUACGGUAAAAGGGCUAUUUUGCAUUUUUUGCCGAUUCGCACACAUUGGAAUUUCGCUAACUCCUCCUAAGGCUUUCGUCCCACUGACACCAAAUUUGCUCAGGCCAAUCUACACUCCAUGGCCAUUCAAAGUUGUAAAAAUCAUGAUGACCCAAAUAUACAUUACAGUAGACAAAGUAGUUUUGCCCACUGAGUGGCGCCAAAGGGACUUGUCUGUGGAGUCUGUGAGUCACUAUUGGCCGUUUUUGACUACUUUAGAUUUUACCUUUAUAUUUCCUCUUACAAAAUUUUUACCUUGCCUUGCCUGGUAUCAUUUUUUUCAGCACAACCUCACCUGUGUCAAUUUACAGUUAUUUUAUCAUUUUGACAUACUAUAUUUACACAUUGGACCCAAAUUCACACACAAAACAUAAAAUCCGAGUGGAAAAAAGUAACGUUUUUACUGUGAAAACCACAAAUAUGUGUGAUGAACUGUUUUUAAAACUUAAACUUCAAAUAAAAAUUGUAAACUUCAAAACAUAUGCAAAUUUUUAACAAAGAACAUAGUAAUUUACCUCUAUUUACAUCAAAAUGCAGGCAAUGGCCCAGGUGUUCUUUGUAAAAUUAUUUACAAAACACUGUAUAGUCUCACAAAUGUCACUUUUUAUUUAUGCCACUACAAAAAAACAUGAUGUAAAUGAUGCAUGAUGUAAAACAUGAUGUAAAAAACUUGUGUAGAUCCUCCUCUAUGUUAGUCCAUGUGUAAUUUUUCCAUAAUUCUUUGUUUUUUGCAGCAUUUUUGUUAGUGUAACUGCAGAUUGUGCUGACAGUGUCUAUGGCACAAAAAAAAAAAAAAACUGAAAAUGCCUCAACAUGAACCCCUGGUGGUCUCUGAGGGUGAAACCUGCUAACUGCUGCAGCUCUGUCAGCUUCAGUCUCCCAUGCAGAGCUCGGAGCGCAUGUGUGGCUCUGCACCCUUAGCAGCGUUGCUAACUCCUCAGUAAGGAAAGCCUGCUUCAUGUCAGAGUCUCUAAACUCCAGAAGAAGUCGAUAAAAGUCACUUUCUUUCUAAAAAAAAGUCGUUAGGGGGUCUGAAAAGUCAUUGAAUCUAACAACAAAGUCGCUAGGUUUGCAACUACGUGUCCCAGACUGCAUCCCUGCUGAGAGUCCCUCCCUCCCUUCUCAUAUUGCAGGAAGAACGUAAGCGCCCGCCCCUUGUCAAUCAGUCACCAUAUAAUUUUGGAUUGGUUGUUGUGGUGAAGUUUUCCACCAAUAGGAGAGAUGUUGUGGUGUGCUUUUUUUUUCCUUUGGCAAGCCUUUUCCGCCUGUAAGACCUGUCGCUAAUGUCUGCAUGCUAUGUUUUCCUGUCUCAUACAGCGCGAUCGAGCGCCGACCGUGAUCAAAAUAAGCAGAAAACAAGUAUCGCGGACAUAAUUUAUCAUAACUCUGGUUUUAUUUGGCCUAUCAACACAAUUUAAAAACUGGUAUAUAGGUUGAGGUCAUCACUUUUGAGAUAAGUUGAAACGGAGAGUCAACGAGGCUCCGUCUUGCAGCUACAUCCGGUUAAAUAUGUCAUGUGACUUGAACGCACACACACACACACACACAGACACACACACACACGCACACACACACACUCAGAGUCUGGUUUUUAGCACCUGCAAAAACAUGCUAUUUACAUAUUUGACAAGAAUGCAGAGGCUCCUUUUGCCCCUGAAAAAAAUCAAAUUUCAAACACAACUUGACUGGUCAUUUCUCCAAAAGACAACCAUGAAGCUCCAUCCAAACCUGAAGCAGGCAGUUGGUGCAUGUGUACAGUAACCUGAGGGGAGUGAGGUGACUGCUUCUGAGGAGAACAUGAGCAGUGAAGAUUCACCUUAGAGCUAGAACAGAGACGUGCACAUGAUUAUACAGGGGCAGGGGCUCAAGUUUUUUCCAGUUGUUUAUACAAUAUGGAAAUUAAUGUGAAAUUAAAAAACAAAGUAUUAAUAGAAAGGUAAUGACUGUCCUGUGUAGGUGACAGUGAUAUCCAAUAGGCUAGGCACUCACGAGGCUGGCUGUGGCAAGUGUAAGUGAAAGCAACACGCACUGGCAGGAAGAACAGCAAACGCCGAUGAAGGAAAAGGGUCUUUGCAGUGAUGGGCGUUACCAGAGAGGGCGAUGGCCAGAGGACGCGAAUGGGACGGGGAGGCGGUCGCGCUGGGGGCGGCGCGACGCGGCUCGGGCCCGACAGUGCCCCACCGGGGCCCUAGUUCUUUCUUUAGGGCCCGAGCCAGCUGCAGAGCAGCCGGGCGUAGGCCCUAUUAUUCCCCAAGUGGUUUUUCUUUGUUUCUUUCUUUCUUUUUAGGGCCCGAGCGUAGCUGCUAAGCAGCUGCGAGAGCCCUAUUAUUCCUGAUGGAUUCUUCUUUCUUCUUCUUCUUCUUAUUAUUUUUCUGCCCCUUUGAACUGGAAAAUGGCCCACUUCCCACUGGUGAAAAGUCAUGAAAUUUGGCAGGACGACCGGGCCUGGUGAAAAAUUCGAUAUUCUGAAGUCGCCCAAACAAUAAAAUGCAAAAUGGCUCCAUAGCGCCCCCUAAGGUGAAAAUUCACACUAUUGACUAUCACGCCUGUACGCUUUGUCAUAUUGACACAAAAAUUGACACACACAUGUAUCUCAAUAAGAUCUACAAAAAAGUCAGUGCGGGCGUAUCUGUCAAAUGUACGGUUAAAGGGUUAUUUUGCAUUUUUUGCAGAUCCGCACACAUUGGAAUUUCGCUAACUCCUCCGAAGGCUUUCGUUCCACCGGCACCACAUUUGCUCAGGCCAAUCUACACUCCAUGGCCAUUCAAAGUUGUACAAAUCAUAAUGCUGCACCCCAUGGUUUAGGUUCUAGGGGGCGCCAAAAAUAACCCAAAAAUCCACAUUCUUAAAAGUUUUAUAAAUUUUUUUUUUUGUCCUCACUGGCCUCCAAGUUUUCUAGGAUGAUGCAAUGUCCAGCCAUCAACACAUUUGUGAAGGAAUUUUUACUCCCCAAAAGAGCGCCCCCCCAUGGCAGGACAAAAAAGUCCAUUUUUUCUUGUCCCAUAAGGUGAAAAUUCACACUAUUGACUGUCACGCCUGUACGCUUUGUCAUAUUGACACAAAAAUUGACACACACAUGUAUCUCAAUAAGGUCUACAAAAAAGUCAGUGCAGGCGUAUCUGUCAAAUGUACGGUUAAAGGGUUAUUUCGCAUUUUUUGCCGUUCCGCACACAUUGGAAUUUCGCUAACUCCUCCGAAGGCUUUCGUUCCACCGGCACUACAUUUGCUCAGGCCAAUCUACACCCCAUGGCCAUUCAAAGUUGUACAAAUCAUGACGCUGCACCCCACGGUUUACGUUCUAGGGGGCGCCAAAGAUAACCCACAAAUCCACAUUCUUAAAAAUCUUAUAACUUUUUAUUUUUGUCCUCAUUGGCCUCCAAGUUUUCUAGGAUGAUGCAAUGUCCAGCCAUCAACACAUUUGUGAAGGAAUUUUUACUCCCCAAAACAGCGCCCCCCCCAUGGCAGGACAAAAAAGGCCAUUUUUUCUUGUCCCCUAAGGUGAAAAUAAACAUUGUUCAGUGUCACGCCUGUACGCUUUGUCAUAUUGACACAAAAUUUGACACACACGUGUAUCUCAAUAAGAUCUACGAAAAAGUCAAUGGGCACAUAUCUGUAAAAUGUACGGUUAAAGGGCUAUCUUGCAUUUUUUGCCGAUUUUCACACAUUGGAAUGUGGCUAACUCCUCCUAAGGCUUUCGUUCUACUGACACCAAAUUUGCUCAGGCCAAUCUACACCCCAUGGCCAUUCAAAGUUGUACAAAUCAUGACGCUGCACCCCACGGUUUAGGUUUUAGGGGGCGCCAAAGAUGACCCAAAUAUCCACAUUUUUAAAAGUCUUAUAACUUUUUAUUUUUGUCCUCACUGGCCUCCAAGUUUUCUAGGAUGAUGCAAUGUGCAGCCAUCAACACAUCUGUGAAGGAAUUUUUUCUCCCCAAAAGAGCGCCCCCCCCAAUGGCAGGAGAAAAAGUCAAGUUUUUCCAGCCCAUCGCUUAAUGGCUCAAACGCAUUGCUCUCCCGCUAAAACCAAAAGGAGGAGCAACUUGCCAUUUGGAUAUGUCCUAGCUGUGUUUGUGCCCUCACUCAUGGUCCAGAGUUUUUUCAAAUAGGACAUGUAGUUUGUCUGCAGCGAGUGUUUUGGUAGAAACUGUGCCUCCCAUUCAUUAUAAUGGGAAAUGACCAAAGACAGGUGCGCACACCAUCUUUGGACCUUGACUUUGACGUCACAGUUUGAGAUACAAAUGUUAUUUGACCUCUGACCUUUGGUGGACACCCUAACCUUUCAACCCGCGAAAACGGCGUUUCAAUAGCUCUUACGGCUUUCCUACAAAUACACUUUGUUCAGCUACUCCUACUGUCCUUUAAGCUCUGCUUCUCAGAUCAUCAAAGAGUGUGCACGUGUGUAAUGAGCGCAUAUUGAAUGUUAAUUAUGUUAAAUAUGUUAAUUAUUAGAAGAAAAAACAACAACAGUCCUUUUGGACAAAAUUUCUUUUUAUUACAGAAUUAGAAUAAUGGAAGCAUAGUCCAAGGAAACCAUUCAAGUGAUGUCAUACCUCAUAAUUUAUUGAGAUGUUGGCUAGUCUGGGCAUUUCUUCAUUCAUCAGGUUUCCUGCAUGCAUACUAACAGAGCACAUCAGUAGCAGUGAGUGAUAAGUAUGAGUGUGUCAUUGUGUAAGAAAGAAAGUGGUUUACUUACACAUCCAUAGAAAAUAGGUGGUUGAGCACAGCACGCAAACAAAGCUUUGCCACAACGGUUGAACUUCCCAAGUAGCUGAUACCAAGGUCACACAAUCAUGGUGAGCAAAGGUCAAACCAGGCCAGGCACUCACGAGGCUGGCUGUGGCAAGUGUAAGUGAAAGCAACACGCAAUGGCAGGAAGAACAGCAAACACCGAUGAAGGAAAAGGGUCUUUGCAGUGAUGGGCGUCACCAGAGAGGGCGAUGGCCAGAGGGCACGAAUGGGACGGGGAGGCGGUCGCGCUGGGGGCGGCGCGACCCGGCUCGGGCCCGACAGUGCCCCAACGGGGCCCUAGUUAUUAUUUUUCCUCCCCUUUGAACUGGAAAAUGGCCCACUUCCCACGGGCGAAAACUCAUGAAAUUUGGCAGGACGAACGGGCCUGGUGAAAAAUUUGAUAUUCCGAAGUCGCCCAAACAAGAAAAUGCAAAAUGGCUCCAUAGCGCCCCCUAAGGUGAAAAUUCACACUAUUGACUGUCACGCGUGUACGCUUUGUCAAAAUGACACAAAAAUUGACACACACAUGUAUCUCAAUAAGAUCUACAAAAAAGUCAGUGCGGGCGUAUCUGUCAAAUGUACGGUUAAAGGGUUAUUUCGCAUUUUUUGCCGAUCCGCACACAUUGGAAUUUCGCUAACUCCUCCGAAGGCUUUCGUUCCACCGGCACCACAUUUGCUCAGGCCAAUCUACACCCCAUGGCCAUUCAAAGUUAUUCAAAUCAUGACGCUGCACCCCACGGUUUAGGUUCUAGGGGGCGCCAAAUAUAACCCUAAGAUCCACAUAUUUAAAAGUCUUAUAACUUUUUAUUUUUGCCCUCACUGGCCUCCAAGUUUUCUAGGAUGAUGCAAUGUCCAGCCAUCAACACAUUUGUGAAGGAAUUUUUACUCCCCAAAAGAGCGCCCCCCCAUGGCAGGAGAAAAAAGUCCAUUUUUUCUUGCCCCCUAAGGUGAAAAUACACAUUGUUGAGUGUAACACCUGUACGCUUUGGCAAAAUGACACAAAAAUUGACACACACAUGUAUCUCAAUAAAAUCUACGAAAAAGUCAAUGCGCGCGUAUCUGUCAAAUGUACGGUUAAAGGGUUAUUCCGCAUUUUUUGCCGAUCCGCACACAUUGGAAUUUCGCUAACUCCUCCGAAGGCUUUCGUUCCACCGGCACCACAUUUGCUCAGGCCAAUCUACACCCCAUGGCCAUUAAAAGUUAUUCAAAUCAUGACGCUGCACCCCACGGUUUAGGUUCUAGGGGGCGCCAAAGAUAACCCUAAAAUCCACAUAUUUAAAAGUCUUAUAACUUUUUAUUUUUGUCCUCACUGGCCUCCAAGUUUUCUAGGAUGAUGCAAUGUCCAGCCAUCAACACAUUUGUGAAGGAAUUUUUACUCCCCAAAAGAGCGCCCCCCCAUGGCAGGAGAAAAAAGUCAAUUUUUUCUUGUCCCCUAAGGUGGAAAUUCACACUAUUGACUGUCACGCCUGUACGCUUUAUCAUAUUGACACAAAAAUUGACACACAUAUGUAUCUCAAUAAGAUCUACAAAAAAGUCAAUGCGCGCGUAUCUGUCAAAUGUACGGUUAAAGGGUUAUUUUCCAUUUUUUGCCGAUUCGCACACAUUGGAAUGUGGCUAACUCCUCCUAAGGCUUUCGUCCCACUGACACCAAAUUUGCUCAGGCCAAUCUACACCCCAUGGCCAUUCAAAGUUGUAAAAAUCAUGACGCUGCACCCCACGGUUUACGUUCUAGGGGGCGCCAAAGAUGACCCAAAAAUCCACAUUCUUAAAGGAAUCCACAUCCCCCCCCCCCCCCCCCCCAAGGCAGGAGAAAAAGUCAAGUUAACCCUGCCCAUCGCUCAAUGGCUCAAUCGCAUCGCUCUCCAGGCAACACCGUAAGGAGGAGCAACCUGCCAUUUCGAUAUAUCAUAGCUGUGUUUGUGCCCUCACUCAUGGUCCAGACUUUUUUCAAAUAGGACAUGAAGUUUGUCUGCAGCGAGUAUUUUGGUAGAAACUGCGCCUCCCAUUCAUUAUAAUGGGAAAUGACCACAGACAAGUGCGCACACCAUCUUUGGACCUUGAGUGUGACGCGAUCGGGAGGGGGAGGCGGUCGCGCUGGGGGCAGCGCGACGCGGCUCGGGCCCGACAGUGCCCCACCGGGGCCCUAGUUUCUUUUUCCUCCCCUUUGAACUGGAAAAUGGCCCACUUCCCACUGGCGAAAACUCAUGAAAUUUUGCAGGACGACCGGGCCUGGUGAAAAAUUUGAUAUUCUGAAGUCGCCCAAACAAUAAAAUGCAAAAUGGCUCCAUAGCGCCCCCUAAGGUAGAAAUUCACACUAUUGACUGUCACGCCUGUACGCUUUGUCAUAUUGACACAAAAAUUGACACACAUAUGUAUCUCAAUAAGAUCUACAAAAAAGUUAGUGCGGCCGUAUCUGUCAAAAUUACGGUUAAAGGGUUAUUUCGCAUUUUUUUCCGAUCCGCACACAUUGGAAUUUCGCUAACUCCUCCGAAGGCUUUCGUUCCACCGGCACCACAUUUGCUCAGGCCAAUCUACACCCCGUGGCCAUUAAAAGUUAUCAAAAUCAUGACGCUGCAACCCAAGGUUUAGGUUCUAGGGGGCGCCAAAGAUAACACUAAAAUCCACAUAUUUAAAAGUCUUAUAACUUUUUAUUUUUGUCCUCACUGGCCUCCAAGUUUUCUAGGAUGAUGCAAUGUCCAGCCAUCAACACAUUUGUGAAGGAAUUUUUACUCCCCAAAAGAGCGCCCCCCCAUGGCAGGAGAAAAAAGUCCAUUUUUUCUUGUCCCCUAAGGUGAAAAUACACAUUGUUGAGUGUCACGCCUAUACGCUUUGUCAAAAUGACACAAAAAUUGACACACACAUGUAACUCAAUAAGAUCUACAAAAAAGUCCAUGCGCGCGUAUCUGUCAAAUGUACAGUUAAAGGGUUAUUCCGCAUUUUUUGCCGAUACGCACACAUUGGAAUUUCGCUAACUCCUCCGAAGGCUUUCGUUCCACCGGCACCACAUUUGCUCAGGCCAAUCUACACCCCAUGGCCAUUAAAAGUUAUUCAAAUCAUGAUGCUGCACCCCAUGGUUUAGGUUCUAGGGGGCGCCAAAAAUAACCCAAAAAUCCACAUUCUUAAAUGUUUUAUAACUUUUUAUUUUUGUCCUCACUGGCCUCCAAGUUUUCUAGGAUGAUGCAAUGUCCAGCCAUCAACACAUUUGUGAAGGAAUUUUUACUCCCCAAAAGAGCGCCCCCCCAUGGUAGGAGAAAAAAGUCAAUUUUUUCUUGUCCCCUUACAUGAAAAUACACAUUGUUGAGUGUCACGCCUGAACGCUAUGUCAUAUUGACACAAAAAUUGACAAUCAUGUGUAUCUCAAUUAGAUCUACGAAAAAGUCAAAGAGCGCGUAUCUGUAUAAUGUACGGUUAAAGGGCUAUUUUGCAUUUUUUGCCGAUUCGCACACAUUGGAAUGUGGCUAUCUCCUCCUAAGGCUUUCGUCCCACCGAUACCAAAUUUGCUCAGGGCAAUCUACACCCCAUGCCCAUUCAAAGUUGUAAAAAUCAUGACGCUGCACCCCACGGUUUACGUUCUAGGGGGCGCCAAAGAUGACCCAAAAAUCCACAUUCUUAAAAGUCAUUUUGGCCACUGCAGGAGUACAGAGUACUGCAGUUCUAGGGGGCGCCAAAGAUGACCCAAAAAUCCACAUUCUUAAAAGUCUUUUUGGCCACUGCAGGAGUACAGAGUACUGCAGGAUACACACACAUAUACACACACGCCAACAUACACACACACACACACACACACACACACACACACACACACACACACACACACACACACUCAGAGUCUGUUUUUUAGCACCUGCAAAAACAUGCUGUUUACAUAUUUGACAAGAAUGCAGAGGUUUCCUUUUGCCCCUGAAAAAAAUCAAAUUUCAAACACAACUUGACUGUUCAUUUCUCCAAAAGACAACCAUGAAGCUCCAUUUCAAACCUGAAGCAGAUAGUUGGUGCAUGUGUACAGUAACCUGAGGGGAGUGAGGUGACUAUUUCUGAGGAGAACAUGAGCAGUGAAGAUUCACCUUGGAGCUAGAACAGGGACGUGCACAUGAUUAUACAGGGGCAGGGGCUCAAGUUUUUUCCAGUCAUUUAUACAAUAUGGAAAUUAAUGUGAAAUUAAACCACAAAUAUGUGUGAUGAACUGUUUUUAAAACUUAAACUUCAAAUAAAAAUUGUAAACUUCAAAACAUAUGCAAAUUUUUAACAAAGAACAUAGUAAUUUACCUCUAUUUACAUCAAAAUGCAGGCAAUGGCCCAGGCGUUCUUUGUAAAAUUAUUUACAAAACACUGUAUAGUCUCACAAAUGUCACUUUUUAUUUAUGCCACUACAAAAAAACAUGAUGUAAAUGAUGCAUGAUGUAAAACAUGAUGUAAAAAACUUGUGUAGAUCCUCCUCUAUGUCAGUCCAUGUGUAAUUUUUCCAUAAUUCUUUGUUUUUUGCAGCAUUUUUGUUAGUGUAACUGCAGAUUGUGCUGACAGUGUCUAUGGCACAAAAAAAAAAAAAACUGAAAAUGCCUCAACAUGAACCCCUGGUGGUCUCUGAGGGUGAAACCUGCUAACUGCUGCAGCUCUGUCAGCUUCAGUCUCCCAUGCAGAGCUCUGAGCGCAUGUGUGGCUCUGCACCCUUAGCAGCGUUGCUAACUCCUCAGUAAGGAAAGCCUGCUUCAUGUCAGAGUCUCUAAACUCCAGAAGAAGUCGAUAAAAGUCCCUUUCUUUCUAAAAAAAAGUCGUUAGGGGGUCUGAAAAGUCAUUGAAUCUAACAACAAAGUCGCUAGGUUUGCAACUACGUGUCCCAGACUGCAUCCCUGCUGAGAGUCCCUCCCUCCCUUCUCAUAUUGCAGGAAGAACGUAAGUUCCCGCCCCUUGUCAAUCAGUCACCAUAUAAUUUUGGAUUGGUUGUUGUGGUGAAGUUUUCCACCAAUAGGAGAGAUGUUGUGGUGUGUUUUUUUUUUCUUUUGGCAAGCCUUUUCCGCCUGUAAGACCUGUCGCUAAUGUCUGCAUGCUAUGUUUUCCUGUCACAUACAGCGCGAUCGAGCGCCGAGCGUGAUCAAAAUAAGCAGAAAAAAAGUAUCGCGGACAUAAUUUAUCAUAACUCUGGUUUUAUUUGGCCUAUCAACACAAUUUAAAAACUGGUAUAUAGGUUGAGGUCCUCACUUUUGAGAUAAGUUGAAACGGAGAGUCAACAAGGCUCCGUCUUGCAGCUACAUCCGGUUAAAUAUGUCAUGUGACUUGAACGCACACACAGACACACACACGCACACACACACACACACACACACACACACACACACUCAGAGUCUGGUUUUUAGCACCUGCAAAAACAUGCUAUUUACAUAUUUGACAAGAAUGCAGAGGCUCCUUUUGCCCCUGAAAAAAAUCAAAUUUCAAACACAACUUGACUGGUCAUUUCUCCAAAAGACAACCAUGAAGCUCCAUCCAAACCUGAAGCAGGCAGUUGGUGCAUGUGUACAGUAACCUGAGGGGAGUGAGGUGAGUGCUUCUGAGGAGAACAUGAGCAGUGAAGAUUCACCUUGGAGCUAGAACAGAGACAUGCACAUGAUUAUACAGGGGCAGGGGCUCAAGUUUUUUCCAGUCGUUUAUACAAUAUGGAAAUUAAUGUGAAAUUAAAACACAAAGUAUUAAUAGAAAGGUAAUGACUGUCCUGUGUAGGUGACAGUGAUAUCCAAUAAGCUAGGCACUCACGAGGCUGGCUGUGGCAAGUGUAAGUGAAAGCAACACGCACUGGCAGGAAGAACAGCAAACGCCGAUGAAGGAAAAGGGUCUUUGCAGUGAUGGGCGUUAACAGAGAGGGCGAUGGCCAGAGGACACAAAUGGGACGGGGAGGCAGCACGUUGGGGGGGGGGGGAGACGCGACACGGCUCGGGCCCGCCAGUGCCCCAACGGGGUCCUAGUUAGGGCCCGAGCCAGCUGCAGAGCAGCCGGGCGUAGGCCCUAUUAUUCCCCAAGUGGUUUUUCUUUGUUUCUUUCUUUCUUUUUUCUUUUUCCUCCCCUUUGAACUGGAAAAUGGCCCACUUCCCACUGGCGAAAACUCAUGAAAUUUGGCAGGACGACCGGGCCUGGUGAAAAAUUUGAUAUUCUGAAGUCGCCCAAACAAUAAAAUGCAAAAUGGCUCCAUAGCGCCCCCUAAGGUGAAAAUUCACACUAUUGACUGUCACGCCUGUACGCUUUGUCAUAUUGACACAAAAAUUGACACACAUAUGUAUCUCAAUAAGAUCUACAAAAAAGUCAGUGCGGCCGUAUCUGUCAAAAUUACGGUUAAAGGGUUAUUUCGCAUUUUUUGCCGAUCCGCACACAUUGGAAUUUCGCUAACUCCUCCGAAGGCUUUCGUUCCACCGGCACCACAUUUGCUCAGGCCAAUCUACACCCCGUGGCCAUUAAAAGUUAUCAAAAUCAUGACGCUGCACCCCAAGGUUUAGGUUCUAGGGGGCGCCAAAGAUAACACUAAAAUCCACAUAUUUAAAAGUCUUAUAACUUUUUAUUUUUGUCCUCACUGGCCUCCAAGUUUUCUAGGAUGAUGCAAUGUCCAGCCAUCAACACAUUUGUGAAGGAAUUUUUACUCCCCAAAAGAGCGCCCCCCCAUGGCAGGAGAAAAAAGUCCAUUUUUUCUUGUCCCCUAAGGUGAAAAUACACAUUGUUGAGUGUCACGCCUAUACGCUUUGUCAAAAUGACACAAAAAUUGACACACACAUGUAACUCAAUAAGAUCUACGAAAAAGUCAAUGCGCGCGUAUCUGUCAAAUGUACGGUUAAAGGGUUAUUCCGCAUUUUUUGCCGAUCCGCACACAUUGGAAUUUCGCUAACUCCUCCUAAGGCUUUCGUUCCACCGGCACCACAUUUGCUCAGGCCAAUCUACACCCCAUGGCCAUUAAAAGUUAUCAAAAUCAUGACGCUGCACCCCACGGUUUAGGUUCUAGGGGGCGCCAAAGAUAACCCUAAAAUCCACAUAUUUAAAAGUCUUAUAACUUUUUAUUUUUGUCCUCACUGGCCUCCAAGUUUUCUAGGAUGAUGCAAUGUCCAGCCAUCAACACAUUUGUGAAGGAAUUUUUACUCCCCAAAAGAGCGCCCCCCCAUGGCAGGAGAAAAAAGUCCAUUUUUUCUUGUCCUCUAAGGUGAAAAUACAUAUUGUUGAGAUUCACGCCUAUACGCUUUGUCAUAUUGACACAAAAUUUGACAAUCACGUGCCUUGCCUGGUAUCAUUUUUUUCAGCACAACCUCACCUGUGCGAAUUUACAGUUAUUUUAUCAUGUUGACAUACUGAAUUUACACAAUGGACCCAAAUUCACACACAAAACAUAAAAUCCGAGUGGAAAAAAGUAACAUUUUUACUGUGAAAACCACAAAUAUGUGUGAUGAACUGUUUUUAAAACUUAAACUUCAAAUAAAAAUUGUAAACUUCAAAACAUAUGCAAAUUUUUAACAAAGAACAUAGUGAUUUACCUCUAUUUACAUCAAAAUGCAGGCAAUGGCCCAGGCGUUCUUUGUAAAAUUAUUUACAAAACACUGUAUAGUCUCACAAAUGUCACUUUUUAUUUAUGCCACUACAAAAAAACAUGAUGUAAAUGAUGCAUGAUGUAAAACAUGAUGUAAAAAACUUGUGUAGAUCCUCCUCUAUGUCAGUCCAUGUGUAAUUUUUCCAUAAUUCUUUGUUUUUUGCAGCAUUUUUGUUAGUGUAACUGCAGAUUGUGCUGACAGUGUCUAUGGCACAAAAAAAAAUAAAUAAAUUAAAAUGCCUCAACAUGAACCCCUGGUGGUCUCUGAGGGUGAAACCUGCUAACUGCUGCAGCUCUGUCAGCUUCAGUCUCCCAUGCAGAGCUCUGAGCGCAUGUGUGGCUCUGCACCCUUAGCAGCGUUGCUAACUCCUCAGUAAGGAAAGCCUGCUUCAUGUCAGAGUCUCUAAACUCCAGAAGAAGUCGAUAAAAGUCCCUUUCUUUCUAAAAAAAAGUCGUUAGGGGGUCUGAAAAGUCAUUGAAUCUAACAACAAAGUCGCUAGGUUUGCAACUACGUGUCCCAGACUGCAUCCCUGCUGAGAGUCCCUCCCUCCCUUCUCAUGUUGCAGGAAGAACGUAAGCGCCCCCCUUGUCAAUCAGUCACCAUAUAAUUUUGGAUUGGUUGUUGUGGUGAAGUUUUCCACCAAUAGGAGAGAUGUUGUGGUGUGUUUUUUUUUUCUUUUGGCAAGCCUUUUCCGCCUGUAAGAGCUGUCGCUAAUGUCUGCAUGCUAUGUUUUCCUGUCUCAUACAGCGCGAUCGAGCGCCGAACGUGAUCAAAAUAAGCAGAAAAAAAGUAUCGCGGACAUAAUUUAUCAUAACUCUGGUUUUAUUUGGCCUAUCAACACAAUUUAAAAACUGGUAUAUAGGUUGAGGUCCUCACUUUUGAGAUAAGUUGAAACGGAGAGUCAACGAGGCUCCGUCUUGCAGCUACAUCCGGUUAAAUAUGUCAUGUGACUUGAACGCACACACAGACACACACACACGCACACACACACACACACACACACACACUCAGAGUCUGGUUUUUAGCACCUGCAAAAACAUGCUAUUUACAUAUUUGACAAGAAUGCAGAGGCUCCUUUUGCCCCUGAAAAAAAUCAAAUUUCAAACACAACUUGACUGGUCAUUUCUCCAAAAGACAACCAUGAAGCUCCAUCCAAACCUGAAGCAGGCAGUUGGUGCAUGUGUACAGUAACCUGAGGGGAGUGAGGUGAGUGCUUCUGAGGAGAACAUGAGCAGUGAAGAUUCACCUUGGAGCUAGAACAGAGACAUGCACAUGAUUAUACAGGGGCAGGGGCUCAAGUUUUUUCCAGUCGUUUAUACAAUAUGGAAAUUAAUGUGAAAUUAAAACACAAAGUAUUAAUAGAAAGGUAAUGACUGUCCUGUGUAGGUGACAGUGAUAUCCAAUAGGCUAGGCACUCACGAGGCUGGCUGUGGCAAGUGUAAGUGAAAGCAACACGCACUGGCAGGAAGAACAGCAAACGCAGAUGAAGGAAAAGGGUCUUUGCAGUGAUGGGCGUUACCAGAGAGAGCGAUGGCCAGAGGACACAAAUGGGACGGGGAGGCAGCACGUUGGGGGGGGGGGGGACGCGACACGGCUCGGGCCCGCCAGUGCCCCAACGGGGUCCUAGUUAGGGCCCGAGCCAGCUGCAGAGCAGCCGGGCGUAGGCCCUGUUAUUCCUGUAGGGGUUUUUCUUUGUUUCUUUCUUUCUUCUUUUUCCUCCCCUUUGAACUGGAAAAUGGCCCACUUCCCACUGGCGAAAACUCAGGAAAUUUGGCAGGACGACCGGGCCUGGUGAAAAAUUUGAUAUUCCAAAGUCGCCCAAACAAGAAAAUGCAAAAUGGCUCCAUAGCGCCCCCUAAGGUGAAAAUUCACACUAUUGACUGUCACGCCUGUACGCUUUGUCAAAAUGACACAAAAAUUGACACACACAUGUAUCUCAAUAAGAUCUACAAAAAAGUCAGUGCGGGCGUAUCUGUCAAAUGUACGGUUAAAGGGUUAUUCCGCAUUUUUUGCCGAUCCGCACACAUUGGAAUUUCGCUAACUCCUCCUAAGGCUUUCGUUCCACCGGCACCACAUUUGCUCAGGCCAAUCUACACCCCAUGGCCAUUAAAAGUUAUCAAAAUCAUGACGCUGCACCCCACGGUUUAGGUUCUAGGGGGCGCCAAAGAUAACCCUAAAAUCCACAUAUUUAAAAGUCUUAUAACUUUUUAUUUUUGUCCUCACUGGCCUCCAAGUUUUCUAGGAUGAUGCAAUGUCCAGCCAUCAACACAUUUGUGAAGGAAUUUUUACUCCCCAAAAGAGCGCCCCCCCAUGGCAGGAGAAAAAAGUCCAUUUUUUCUUGUCCCCUAAGGUGAAAAUACACAUUGUUGAGUGUCACGCCUAUACGCUUUGUCAAAAUGACACAAAAAUUGACACACACAUGUAACUCAAUAAGAUCUACGAAAAAGUCAAUGCGCGCAUAUCUGUCAAAUGUACGGUUAAAGGGUUAUUCCGCAUUUUUUGCCGAUCCGCACACAUUGGAAUUUCGCUAACUCCUCCUAAGGCUUUCGUUCCACCGGCACCACAUUUGCUCAGGCCAAUCUACACCCCAUGGCCAUUAAAAGUUAUCAAAAUCAUGACGCUGCACCCCACGGUUUAGGUUCUAGGGGGCGCCAAAGAUAACCCUAAAAUCCACAUAUUUAAAAGUCUUAUAACUUUUUAUUUCUGUCCUCACUGGCCUCCAAGUUUUCUAGGAUGAUGCAAUGUCCAGCCAUCAACACAUUUGUGAAGGAAUUUUUACUCCCCAAAAGAGCGCCCCCCAUGGCAGGAGAAAAAAGUCCAUUUUUUCUUGUCCUCUAAGGUGAAAAUACAUAUUGUUGAGAUUCACGCCUAUACGCUUUGUCAUAUUGACACAACAUUUGACAAUCACGUGCCUUGCCUGGUAUCAUUUUUUUCAGCACAACCUCACCUGUGCGAAUUUACAGUUAUUUUAUCAUGUUGACAUACUGAAUUUACACAAUGGACCCAAAUUCACACACAAAACAUAAAAUCCGAGUGGAAAAAAGUAACAUUUUUACUGUGAAAACCACAAAUAUGUGUGAUGAACUGUUUUUAAAACUUAAACUUCAAAUAAAAAUUGUAAACUUCAAAACAUAUGCAAAUUUUUAACAAAGAACAUAGUGAUUUACCUCUAUUUACAUCAAAAUGCAGGCAAUGGCCCAGGCGUUCUUUGUAAAAUUAUUUACAAAACACUGUAUAGUCUCACAAAUGUCACUUUUUAUUUAUGCCACUACAAAAAAACAUGAUGUAAAUGAUGCAUGAUGUAAAACAUGAUGUAAAAAACUUGUGUAGAUCCUCCUCUAUGUCAGUCCAUGUGUAAUUUUUCCAUAAUUCUUUGUUUUUUGCAGCAUUUUUGUUAGUGUAACUGCAGAUUGUGCUGACAGUGUCUAUGGCACAAAAAAAAAAAUAAUAAUUAAAAUGCCUCAACAUGAACCCCUGGUGGUCUCUGAGGGUGAAACCUGCUAACUGCUGCAGCUCUGUCAGCUUCAGUCUCCCAUGCAGAGCUCUGAGCGCAUGUGUGGCUCUGCACCCUUAGCAGCGUUGCUAACUCCUCAGUAAGGAAAGCCUGCUUCAUGUCAGAGUCUCUAAACUCCAGAAGAAGUCGAUAAAAGUCCCUUUCUUUCUAAAAAAAAGUCGUUAGGGGGUCUGAAAAGUCAUUGAAUCUAACAACAAAGUCGCUAGGUUUGCAACUACGUGUCCCAGACUGCAUCCCUGCUGAGAGUCCCUCCCUCCCUUCUCAUGUUGCAGGAAGAACGUAAGCGCCCCCCUUGUCAAUCAGUCACCAUAUAAUUUUGGAUUGGUUGUUGUGGUGAAGUUUUCCACCAAUAGGAGAGAUGUUGUGGUGUGUUUUUUUUUUCUUUUGGCAAGCCUUUUCCGCCUGUAAGAGCUGUCGCUAAUGUCUGCAUGCUAUGUUUUCCUGUCUCAUACAGCGCGAUCGAGCGCCGAACGUGAUCAAAAUAAGCAGAAAAAAAGUAUUGCGGACAUAAUUUAUCAUAACUCUGGUUUUAUUUGGCCUAUCAACACAAUUUAAAAACUGGUAUAUAGCUUGAGGUCCUCACUUUUGAGAUAAGUUGAAACGGAGAGUCAACGAGGCUCCGUCUUGCAGCUACAUCCGGUUAAAUAUGUCAUGUGACUUGAACGCACACACAGACACACACACACGCACACACACACACACACACACACACACACACACACACACACACACACACACACACACACACACUCAGAGUCUGGUUUUUAGCACCUGCAAAAACAUGCUAUUUACAUAUUUGACAAGAAUGCAGAGGCUCCUUUUGCCCCUGAAAAAAAUCAAAUUUCAAACACAACUUGACUGGUCAUUUCUCCAAAAGACAACCAUGAAGCUCCAUCCAAACCUGAAGCAGGCAGUUGGUGCAUGUGUACAGUAACCUGAGGGGAGUGAGGUGAGUGCUUCUGAGGAGAACAUGAGCAGUGAAGAUUCACCUUGGAGCUAGAACAGAGACAUGCACAUGAUUAUACAGGGGCAGGGGCUCAAGUUUUUUCCAGUCGUUUAUACAAUAUGGAAAUUAAUGUGAAAUUAAAACACAAAGUAUUAAUAGAAAGGUAAUGACUGUCCUGUGUAGGUGACAGUGAUAUCCAAUAGGCUAGGCACUCACGAGGCUGGCUGUGGCAAGUGUAAGUGAAAGCAACACGCACUGGCAGGAAGAACAGCAAACGCCGAUGAAGGAAAAGGGUCUUUGCAGUGAUGGGCGUUACCAGAGAGGGCGAUGGCCAGAGGACACAAAUGGGACGGGGAGGCAGCACGUUGGGGGGGGGACGCGACACGGCUCGGGCCCGCCAGUGCCCCAACGGGGUCCUAGUUCUUUCUUUCUUUCUUCUUUUUCCUCCCCUUUGAACUGGAAAAUGGCCCACUUCCCACUGGCGAAAACUCAUGAAAUUUGGCAGGACGACCGGGCCUGGUGAAAAAUUCGAUAUUCUGAAGUCGCCCAAACAAUAAAAUGCAAAAUGGCUCCAUAGCGCCCCCUAAGGUGGAAAUUCACACUAUUGACUGUCACGCCUGUACGCUUUGUCAUAUUGACACAAAAAUUGACACACAUAUGUAUCUCAAUAAGAUCUACAAAAAAGUCAGUGCGGCCGUAUCUGUCAAAUGUACGGUUAAAGGGUUAUUUCGCAUUUUUUGCCGAUCCGCACACAUUGGAAUUUCGCUAACUCCUCCGAAGGCUUUCGUUCCACCGGCACCACAUUUGCUCAGGCCAAUCUACACCCCGUGGCCAUUAAAAGUUAUCAAAAUCAUGACGCUGCACCCCAAGGUUUAGGUUCUAGGGGGCGCCAAAGAUAACACUAAAAUCCACAUAUUUAAAAGUCUUAUAACUUUUUAUUUUUGUCCUCACUGGCCUCCAAGUUUUCUAGGAUGAUGCAAUGUCCAGCCAUCAACACAUUUGUGAAGGAAUUUUUACUCCCCAAAAGAGCGCCCCCCAUGGCAGGAGAAAAAAGUCCAUUUUUUCUUGUCCCCUAAGGUGAAAAUACACAUUGUUGAGUGUCACGCCUAUACGCUUUGUCAAAAUGACACAAAAAUUGACACACACAUGUAACUCAAUAAGAUCUACAAAAAAGUCAAUGCGCGCGUAUCUGUCAAAUGUACAGUUAAAGGGUUAUUCCGCAUUUUUUGCCGAUACGCACACAUUGGAAUUUCGCUAACUCCUCCGAAGGCUUUCGUUCCACUGGCACCACAUUUGCUCAGGCCAAUCUACACCCCAUGGCCAUUAAAAGUUAUUCAAAUCAUGAUGCUGCACCCCAUGGUUUAGGUUCUAGGGGGCGCCAAAAAUAACCCAAAAAUCCACAUUUUUAAAUGUUUUAUAACUUUUUAUUUUUGUCCUCACUGGCCUCCAAGUUUUCUAGGAUGAUGCAAUGUCCAGCCAUCAACACAUUUGUGAAGGAAUUUUUACUCCCCAAAAGAGCGCCCCCCCAUGGUAGGAGAAAAAAGUCAAUUUUUUCUUGUCCCCUUACAUGAAAAUACACAUUGUUGAGUGUCACACCUGAACGCUUUGUCAUAUUGACACAAAAAUUGACAAUCAUGUGUAUCUCAAUUAGAUCUACGAAAAAGUCAAAGAGCGCGUAUCUUUAUAAUGUACGGUUAAAGGGCUAUUUUGCAUUUUUUGCCGAUUCGCACACAUUGGAAUGUGGCUAUCUCCUCCUAAGGCUUUCGUCCCACCGAUACCAAAUUUGCUCAGGGCAAUCUACACCCCAUGCCCAUUCAAAGUUGUAAAAAUCAUGACGCUGCACCCCACGGUUUACGUUCUAGGGGGCGCCAAAGAUGACCCAAAAAUCCACAUUCUUAAAAGUCAUUUUGGCCACUGCAGGAGUACAGAGUACUGCAGUUCUAGGGGGCGCCAAAGAUGACCCAAAAAUCCACAUUCUUAAAAGUCUUUUUGGCCACUGCAGGAGUACAGAGUACUGCAGGAUACACACACAUAUACACACACGCCAACAUACACACACACACACACACACACACACACAGACACACACACACACACUCAGAGUCUGUUUUUUAGCACCUGCAAAAACAUGCUGUUUACAUAUUUGACAAGAAUGCAGAGGCUUCCUUUUGCCCCUGAAAAAAAUCAAAUUUCAAACACAACUUGACUGUUCAUUUCUCCAAAAGACAACCAUGAAGCUCCAUUUCAAACCUGAAGCAGAUAGUUGGUGCAUGUGUACAGUAACCUGAGGGGAGUGAGGUGACUAUUUCUGAGGAGAACAUGAGCAGUGAAGAUUCACCUUGGAGCUAGAACAGGGACGUGCACAUGAUUAUACAGGGGCAGGGGCUCAAGUUUUUUCCAGUCGUUUAUACAAUAUGGAAAUUAAUGUGAAAUUAAAACACAAAGUAUUAAUAGAAAGGUAAUGACUGUCCUGUGUAGGUGACAGUGAUAUCCAAUAGGCUAGGCACUCACGAGGCUGGCUGUGGCAAGUGUAAGUGAAAGCAACACGCACUGGCAGGAAGAACAGCAAACGCCGAUGAAGGAAAAGGGUCUUUGCAGUGAUGGGCGUUAACAGAGAGGGCGAUGGCCAGAGGACACAAAUGGGACGGGGAGGCAGCACGUUGGGGGGGGUGGGGGGGGGGGGGGACGCGACACGGCUCGGGCCCGCCAGUGCCCCAACGGGGUCCUAGUUAUUAGGGCCCGAGCCAGCUGCAGAGCAGCCGGGCGUAGGCCCUGUUAUUCCUGUAGGGGUUUUUCUUUAGGGCCCGAGCGUAGCUGCUAAGCAGCUGCGAGAGCCCUCUUGUUCCUGUAGUUUCCUUCUUUUGUUAUUAUUAUUAUUAUUUUUCCUCCCCUUUGAACUGGAAAAUGGCCCACUUCCCACUGGCGAAAACUCAUGAAAUUUGGCAGGACGACCGGGCCUGGUGAAAAAUUUGAUAUUCCGAAGUCGCCCAAACAAGAAAAUGCAAAAUGGCUCCAUAGCGCCCCCUAAGGUGAAAAUUCACACUAUUCACUGUCACGCCGGUACGCUUUGUCAAAAUGACACAAAAAUUGACACACACAUGUAUCUCAAUAAGAUCUACAAAAAAGUCAGUGCGGGCGUAUCUGUCAAAUGUACGGUUAAAGGGUUAUUUCGCAUUUUUUGCCGAUCCGCACACAUUGGAAUUUCGCUAACUCCUCCGAAGGCUUUCGUUCCACCGGCACCACAUUUGCUCAGGCCAAUCUACACCCCAUGGCCAUUAAAAGUUAUUCAAAUCAUGACGCUGCACCCCACGGUUUAGGUUCUAGGGGGCGCCAAAGAUAACCCUAAGAUCCACAUAUUUAAAAGUCUUAUAACUUUUUAUUUUUGCCCUCACUGGCCUCCAAGUUUUCUAGGAUGAUGCAAUGUCCAGCCAUCAACACAUUUGUGAAGGAAUUUUUACUCCCCAAAAGAGCGCCCCCCCCAUGGCAGGAGAAAAAAGUCCAUUUUUUCUUGUCCCCUAAGGUGAAAAUACACAUUGUUGAGUGUAACACCUGUACGCUUUGGCAAAAUGACACAAAAAUUGACACACACAUGUAUCUCAAUAAGAUCUACGAAAAAGUCAAUGCGCGCGUAUCUGUCAAAUGUACGGUUAAAGGGUUAUUCCGCAUUUUUUGCCGAUCCGCACACAUUGGAAUUUCGCUAACUCCUCCGAAGGCUUUCGUUCCACCGGCACCACUUUUGCUCAGGCCAAUCUACACCCCAUGGCCAUUAAAAGUUAUUCAAAUCAUGACGCUGCACCCCACGGUUUAGGUUCUAGGGGGAGCCAAAGAUAACCGUAAAAUCCACAUAUUUUAAAGUCUUAUAACUUUUUAUUUUUGUCCCCACUGGCCUCCAAGUUUUCUAGGAUGAUGCAAUGUCCAGCCAUCAACACAUUUGUGAAGGAAUUUUUACUCGGCAAAAGAGCGCCCCCCCAUGGCAGGAGAAAAAAGUCAAUUUUUUCUUGUCCACUAAGGUGAAAAUACACAUUGUUGAGUGCUACGCCUGUAUGUUUUGUCGUAUUGACACAAAAUUUUACAUACACGUGUAUUUACAUAAGAUCUUCGAAAAAGUCAAUGGCCACGUAUCUGUAAAAUGUACGGUUAAAGGGUUAUUUCGCAUUUUUUGCAGAUUCGCACACAUUGGAAUUUCGCUAAUUCCUCCGAAGGCUUUCGUUCCACCGGCACCACAUUUGCUCAGGCCAAUCUACACCCCAUGGCCAUUAAAAGUUAUUCAAAUCAUGACGCUGCACCCCACGGUUUAGGUUCUAGGGGGCGCCAAAUAUAACCCUAAAAUCCACAUAUUUAAAAGUCUUAUAACUUUUUAUUUUUGUCCUCACUGGCCUCCAUGUUUUCUAGGAUGAUGCAAUGUCCAGCCAUCAACACAUUUGUGAAGGAGUUUUUUCUCUUUAAAAGAGCGCCCCCCCAUGGCAGGAGAAAAAAGUCAAGUUUUUCCUGUUCAUCAUUCAAUGGCUCAAACGCACUGCUCUCUCGGCAAAAGCGAAAGGAGGAGCAACUUGCCAUUUGGAUAUAUCUUAGCUGUGUUUGUGCCCUCACUCAUGGUCCAGACUUUUUUCAAAUAGGACAUGGAGUUUUUCUGCAGCGAGCGUUUUGGUAGAAACUGCGCCUCCCGUUCAUUAUAAUGGUAAAUGACCACAAACAAGUGCGCACACCAUCUUUGGACCUUGAGUGUGACGUGAUCGGGUGGGGGAGGCGGUCGCGCUGGGGGCGGCGUGACACGGCUCGGGCCCGCCAGUGCCCCAACGGGGCCCUAGUUGUUUCUUUCUUUCUUCUUUUUCCUCCCCUUUGAACUGGAAAAUGGCCCACUUCCCACUGGCGAAAACUCAGGAAAUUUGGCAGGACGACCGGGCCUGGUGAAAAAUUUGAUAUUCCGAAGUCGCCCAAACAAGAAAAUGCAAAAUGGCUCCAUAGCGCCCCCUAAGGUGAAAAUUCACACUAUUGACUGUCACGCCUGUACGCUUUGUCAAAAUGACACAAAAAUUGACACACACAUGUAUCUCAAUAAGAUCUACAAAAAAGUCAGUGCGGGCGUAUCUGUCAAAUGUACGGUUAAAGGGUUAUUUCGCAUUUUUUGCCGAUCCGCACACAUUGGAAUUUCGCUAACUCCUCCGAAGGCUUUCGUUCCACCGGCACCACAUUUGCUCAGGCCAAUCUACACCCCAUGGCCAUUAAAAGUUAUUCAAAUCAUGACGCUGCACCCCACGGUUUAGGUUCUAGGGGGCGCCAAAGAUAACCCUAAAAUCCACAUUUUUAAAAGUCUUAUAACUUUUUAUUUUUCCCCUCACUGGCCUCCAAGUUUUCUAGGAUGAUGCAAUGUCCAGCCAUCAACACAUUUGUGAAGGAAUUUUUACUCCCCAAAAGAGCGCCCCCCCAUGGCAGGAGAAAAAAGUCCAUUUUUUUCUUGUCCCCUAAGGUGAAAAUACACAUUGUUGAGUGUCACGCCUGUACGCUUUGUCAAAAUGACACAAAAAUUGACACACACAUGUAUCUCAAUAAGAUCUACAAAAAAGUCCAUGCGCGCGUAUCUGUCUAAUGUAUGGUUAAAGGGUUAUUCCGAAUUUUUUGCCGAUUCGCACACAUUGGAAUUUCGCUAACUCCUCCGAAGGCUUUCGUUCCACCGGCACCACAUUUGCUCAGGCCAAAUUACACCCCAUGGCCAUUAAAAGUUAUUCAAAUCAUGACGCUGCACCCCACGGUUUACGUUCUAGGGGGCGCCAAAGAUAACCCAAAAAUCCACAUUUUUAAAAGUCUUAUAACUUUUUAUUUUUGUCCUCACUGGCCUCCAAGUUUUCUAGGAUGAUGCAAUGUCCAGCCAUCAACACAUUUGUGAAGGAAUUUUUACUCCCCAAAAGAGCGCCCCCCAUGGCAGGAGAAAAAAGUCCAUUUUUUUCUUGUCCCCUAAGGUGAAAAUACACAUUGUUGAGUGUCACGCCUGUACGCUUUGUCAAAAUGACACAAAAAUUGACACACACAUGUAUCUCAAUAAGAUCUACAAAAAAGUCCAUGCGCGCGUAUCUGUCUAAUGUACGGUUAAAGGGUUAUUCCGAAUUUUUUGCCGAUUCGCACACAUUGGAAUUUCGCUAACUCCUCCGAAGGCUUUCGUUCCACCGGCACCACAUUUGCUCAGGCCAAAUUACACCCCAUGGCCAUUAAAAGUUAUUCAAAUCAUGACGCUGCACCCCACGGUUUACGUUCUAGGGGGCGCCAAAGAUAACCCAAAAAUCCACAUUUUUAAAAGUCUUAUAACUUUUUAUUUUUGUCCUCACUGGCCUCCAAGUUUUCUAGGAUGAUGCAAUGUCCAGCCAUCAACACAUUUGUGAAGGAAUUUUUACUCCCCAAAAGAGCGCCCCCCCAUGGCAGGAGAAAAAAGUCCAUUUUUUUCUUGUCCCCUAAGGUGAAAAUACACAUUGUUGAGUGUCACGCCUGUACGCUUUGUCAAAAUGACACAAAAAUUGACACACACAUGUAUCUCAAUAAGAUCUACAAAAAAGUCCAUGCGCGCGUAUCUGUCUAAUGUACGGUUAAAGGGUUAUUCCGAAUUUUUUGCCGAUUCGCACACAUUGGAAUUUCGCUAACUCCUCCGAAGGCUUUCGUUCCACCGGCACCACAUUUGCUCAGGCCAAAUUACACCCCAUGGCCAUUAAAAGUUAUUCAAAUCAUGACGCUGCACCCCACGGUUUACGUUCUAGGGGGCGCCAAAGAUAACCCAAAAAUCCACAUUUUUAAAAGUCUUAUAACUUUUUAUUUUUGUCCUCACUGGCCUCCAAGUUUUCUAGGAUGAUGCAAUGUCCAGCCAUCAACACAUUUGUGAAGGAAUUUUUACUCCCCAAAAGAGCGCCCCCCCAUGGCAGGAGAAAAAAGUCCAUUUUUUCUUGUCCCCUAAGGUGAAAAUACACAUUGUUGACUGUCACGCCUGUACGCUUUGGCAAAAUGACACAAAAAUUGACAAUCAUGUGUAUCUCAAUUAGAUCUACGAAAAAGUCAAAGAGCGCGUAUCUGUAUAAUGUACGGUAAAAGGGCUAUUUUGCAUUUUUUGCCGAUUCGCACACAUUGGAAUUUCGCUAACUCCUCCUAAGGCUUUCGUCCCACUGACACCAAAUUUGCUCAGGCCAAUCUACACUCCAUGGCCAUUCAAAGUUGUAAAAAUCAUGACGCUGCACCCCACGGUUUACGUUUUAGGGGGCGCCAAAGAUGACCCAAAUAUACAUUACAGUAGACAAAGUAGUUUUGCCCACUGAGUGGCGCCAAAGGGACUUGUCUGUGGAGUCUGUGAGUCACUAUUGGCCGUUUUUGACUACUUUAGAUUUUACCUUUAUAUUUCCUCUUACAAAAUUUUUACCUUGCCUUGCCUGGUAUCAUUUUUUUCAGCACAACCUCACCUGUGUCAAUUUACAGUUAUUUUAUCAUUUUGACAUACUAUAUUUACACAUUGGACCCAAAUUCACACACAAAACAUAAAAUCCGAGUGGAAAAAAGUAACGUUUUUACUGUGAAAACCACAAAUAUGUGUGAUGAACUGUUUUUAAAACUUAAACUUCAAAUAAAAAUUGUAAACUUCAAAACAUAUGCAAAUUUUUAACAAAGAACAUAGUAAUUUACCUCUAUUGACAUCAAAAUGCAGGCAAUGGCCCAGGUGUUCUUUGUAAAAUUAUUUACAAAACACUGUAUAGUCUCACAAAUGUCACUUUUUAUUUAUGCCACUACAAAAAAACAUGAUGUAAAUGAUGCAUGAUGUAAAACAUGAUGUAAAAAACUUGUGUAGAUCCUCCUCUAUGUUAGUCCAUGUGUAAUUUUUCCAUAAUUCUUUGUUUUUUGCAGCAUUUUUGUUAGUGUAACUGCAGAUUGUGCUGACAGUGUCUAUGGCAAAAAAAAAAAAAAAAAACUGAAAAUGCCUCAACAUGAACCCCUGGUGGUCUCUGAGGGUGAAACCUGCUAACUGCUGCAGCUCUGUCAGCUUCAGUCUCCCAUGCAGAGCUCGGAGCGCAUGUGUGGCUCUGCACCCUUAGCAGCGUUGCUAACUCCUCAGUAAGGAAAGCCUGCUUCAUGUCAGAGUCUCUAAACUCCAGAACUCCAGAAGAAGUCGAUAAAAGUCCCUUUCUUUCUAAAAAAAAAGUCAUUAGGGGGUCUGAAAAGUCAUUGAAUCUAACAACAAAGUCGCUAGGUUUGCAACUACGUGUCCCAGACUGCAUCCCUGCUGAGAGUCCCUCCCUCCCUUCUCAUGUUUUCCACCAAUAGGAGAGAUGUUGUGGUGUGUUUUUUUUUUCUUUUGGCAAGCCUUUUCCGCCUUUAAGACCUGUCGCUAAUGUCUGCAUGCUAUGUUUUCCUGUCUCAUACAGCGCGAUCGAGCGCCGAACGUGAUCAAAAUAAGCAGAAAAAAAGUAUCGCGGACAUAAUUUAUCAUAACUCUGGUUUUAUUUGGCCUAUCAACACAAUUUAAAAACUGGUAUAUAGGUUGAGGUCCUCACUUUUGAGAUAAGUUGAAACGGAGAGUCAACGAGGCUCCGUCUUGCAGCUACAUCCGGUUAAAUAUGUCAUGUGACUUGAACGCACACAUAGACACACACACGCACACACACACACACACACACACACACACACACACACACACACACACACACACACACACACACACACACACUCAGAGUCUGGUUUUUAGCACCUGCAAAAACAUGCUAUUUACAUAUUUGACAAGAAUGCAGAGGCUCCUUUUGCCCCUGAAAAAAAUCAAAUUUCAAACACAACUUGACUGGUCAUUUCUCCAAAAGACAACCAUGAAGCUCCAUCCAAACCUGAAGCAGGCAGUUGGUGCAUGUGUACAGUAACCUGAGGGGAGUGAGGUGAGUGCUUCUGAGGAGAACAUGAGCAGUGAAGAUUCACCUUGGAGCUAGAACAGAGACAUGCACAUGAUUAUACAGGGGCAGGGGCUCAAGUUUUUUCCAGUCGUUUAUACAAUAUGGAAAUUAAUGUGAAAUUAAAACACAAAGUAUUAAUAGAAAGGUAAUGACUGUCCUGUGUAGGUGACAGUGAUAUCCAAUAGGCUAGGCACUCACGAGGCUGGCUGUGGCAAGUGUAAGUGAAAUCAACACGCACUGGCAGGAAGAACAGCAAACGCCGAUGAAGGAAAAGGGUCUUUGCAGUGAUGGGCGUUAACAGAGAGGGCGAUGGCCAGAGGACACAAAUGGGACGGGGAGGCAGCACGUUGGGGGGGGGGGGACGCGACACGGCUCGGGCCCGCCAGUGCCCCAACGGGGUCCUAGUUAUUAGGGCCCGAGCCAGCUGCAGAGCAGCCGGGCGUAGGCCCUGUUAUUCCUGUAGGGGUUUUUUAGGGCCCGAGCGUAGCUGCUAAGCAGCUGCGAGAGCCCUCUUGUUCCUGUAGUUUCCUUCUUUUGUUAUUAUUAUUUUUCCUCCCCUUUGAACUGGAAAAUGGCCCACUUCCCACUGGCGAAAACUCAUGAAAUUUGGCAGGACGACCGGGCCUGGUGAAAAAUUUGAUAUUCCGAAGUCGCCCAAACAAGAAAAUGCAAAAUGGCUCCAUAGCGCCCCCUAAGGUGAAAAUUCACACUAUUGACUGUCACGCCUGUACGCUUUGUCAAAAUGACACAAAAAUUGACACACACAUGUAUCUCAAUAAGAUCUACAAAAAAGUCAGUGCGGGCGUAUCUGUCAAAUGUACGGUUAAAGGGUUAUUUCGCAUUUUUUGCCGAUCCGCACACAUUGGAAUUUCGCUAACUCCUCCGAAGGCUUUCGUUCCACCGGCACCACAUUUGCUCAGGCCAAUCUACACCCCAUGGCCAUUAAAAGUUAUUCAAAUCAUGACGCUGCACCCCACGGUUUAGGUUCUAGGGGGCGCCAAAGAUAACCCUAAGAUCCACAUAUUUAAAAGUCUUAUAACUUUUUAUUUUUGCCCUCACUGGCCUCCAAGUUUUCUAGGAUGAUGCAAUGUCCAGCCAUCAACACAUUUGUGAAGGAAUUUUUACUCCCCAAAAGAGCGCCCCCCCAUGGCAGGAGAAAAAAGUCCAUUUUUUCUUGUCCCCUAAGGUGAAAAUACACAUUGUUGAGUGUAACACCUGUACGCUUUGGCAAAAUGACACAAAAAUUUGACAAUCACGUGCCUUGCCUGGUAUCAUUUUUUUCAGCACAACCUCACCUGUGCGAAUUUACAGUUAUUUUAUCAUGUUGACAUACUGAAUUUACACAAUGGACCCAAAUUCACACACAAAACAUAAAAUCCGAGUGGAAAAAAGUAACAUUUUUACUGUGAAAACCACAAAUAUGUGUGAUGAACUGUUUUUAAAACUUAAACUUCAAAUAAAAAUUGUAAACUUCAAAACAUAUGCAAAUUUUUAACAAAGAACAUAGUGAUUUACCUCUAUUUACAUCAAAAUGCAGGCAAUGGCCCAGGCGUUCUUUGUAAAAUUAUUUACAAAACACUGUAUAGUCUCACAAAUAUCACUUUUUAUUUAUGCCACUACAAAAAAACAUGAUGUAAAUGAUGCAUGAUGUAAAACAUGAUGUAAAAAACUUGUGUAGAUCCUCCUCUAUGUCAGUCCAUGUGUAAUUUUUCCAUAAUUCUUUGUUUUUUGCAGCAUUUUUGUUAGUGUAACUGCAGAUUGUGCUGACAGUGUCUAUGGCACAAAAAAAAAAAUAAUUAAAAUGCCUCAACAUGAACCCCUGGUGGUCUCUGAGGGGAAACCUGCUAACUGCUGCAGCUCUGUCAGCUUCAGUCUCCCAUGCAGAGCUCUGAGCGCAUGUGUGGCUCUGCACCCUUAGCAGCAUUGCUAACUCCUCAGUAAGGAAAGCCUGCUUCAUGUCAGAGUCUCUAAACUCCAGAAGAAGUCGAUAAAAGUCCCUUUCUUUCUAAAAAAAAAAGUCGUUAGGGGGUCUGAAAAGUCAUUGAAUCUAACAACAAAGUCGCUAGGUUUGCAACUACGUGUCCCAGACUGCAUCCCUGCUGAGAGUCCCUCCCUCGCUUCUCAUGUUGCAGGAAGAACGUAAGCGCCCGCCCCUUGUCAAUCAGUCACCAUAUAAUUUUGGAUUGGUUGUUGUGGUGAAGUUUUCCACCAAUAGGAGAGAUGUUGUGGUGUGUUUUUUUUUUCUUUUGGCAAGCCUUUUCCGCCUGUAAGAGCUGUCGCUAAUGUCUGCAUGCUUUGUUUUCCUGUCUCAUACAGCGCGAUCGAGCGCCGAACGUGAUCAAAAUAAGCAGAAAAAAAGUAUCGCGGACAUAAUUUAUCAUAACUCUGGUUUUAUUUGGCCUAUCAUCACAAUUUAAAAACUGGUAUAUAGGUUGAGGUCCUCACUUUUGAGAUAAGUUGAAACGGAGAGUCAACGAGGCUCCGUCUUGCAGCUACAUCCGGUUAAAUAUGUCAUGUGACUUGAACGCACACACAGACACACACACACGCACACACACACACACUCAGAGUCUGGUUUUUAGCACCUGCAAAAACAUGCUAUUUACAUAUUUGACAAGAAUGCAGAGGCUCCUUUUGCCCCUGAAAAAAAUCAAAUUUCAAACACAACUUGACUGGUCAUUUCUCCAAAAGACAACCAUGAAGCUCCAUCCAAACCUGAAGCAGGCAGUUGGUGCAUGUGUACAGUAACCUGAGGGGAGUGAGGUGAGUGCUUCUGAGGAGAACAUGAGCAGUGAAGAUUCACCUUGGAGCUAGAACAGAGACAUGCACAUGAUUAUACAGGGGCAGGGGCUCAAGUUUUUUCCAGUCGUUUAUACAAUAUGGAAAUUAAUGUGAAAUUAAAACACAAAGUAUUAAUAGAAAGGUAAUGACUGUCCUGUGUAGGUGACAGUGAUAUCCAAUAGGCUAGGCACUCACGAGGCUGGCUGUGGCAAGUGUAAGUGAAAGCAACACGCACUGGCAAGAAGAACAGCAAACGCCAAUGAAGGAAAAGGGUCUUUGCAGUGAUGGGCGUUACCAGAGAGGGCGAUGGCCAGAGGACACAAAUGGGACGGGGAGGCAGCACGUUGGGGGGGGGACGCGACACGGCUCGGGCCCGCCAGUGCCCCAACGGGGUCCUAGUCUUUGUUUCUUUCUUUAGGGCCCGAGCGUAGCUGCUAAGCAGCUGCGAGAGCCCUCUUGUUCCUGUAGUUUCCUUCUUUUGUUAUUAUUAUUAUUAUUUUUCCUCCCCUUUGAACUGGAAAAUGGCCCACUUCCCACUGGCGAAAACUCAUGAAAUUUGGCAGGACGACCGGGCCUGGUGAAAAAUUUGAUAUUCCGAAGUCGCCCAAACAAGAAAAUGCAAAAUGGCUCCAUAGCGCCCCCUAAGGUGAAAAUUCACACUAUUCACUGUCACGCCGGUACGCUUUGUCAAAAUGACACAAAAAUUGACACACACAUGUAUCUCAAUAAGAUCUACAAAAAAGUCAGUGCGGGCGUAUCUGUCAAAUGUACGGUUAAAGGGUUAUUUCGCAUUUUUUGCCGAUCCGCACACAUUGGAAUUUCGCUAACUCCUCCGAAGGCUUUCGUUCCACCGGCACCACAUUUGCUCAGGCCAAUCUACACCCCAUGGCCAUUAAAAGUUAUUCAAAUCAUGACGCUGCACCCCACGGUUUAGGUUCUAGGGGGCGCCAAAGAUAACCCUAAGAUCCACAUAUUUAAAAGUCUUAUAACUUUUUAUUUUUGCCCUCACUGGCCUCCAAGUUUUCUAGGAUGAUGCAAUGUCCAGCCAUCAACACAUUUGUGAAGGAAUUUUUACUCCCCAAAAGAGCGCCCCCCAUGGCAGGAGAAAAAAGUCCAUUUUUUCUUGUCCCCUAAGGUGAAAAUACACAUUGUUGAGUGUAACACCUGUACGCUUUGUCAAAAUGACACAAAAAUUGACACACACAUGUAUCUCAAUAAGAUCUACAAAAAAGUCAGUGCGGGCGUAUCUGUCAAAUGUACGGUUAAAGGGUUAUUUCGCAUUUUUUGCCGAUCCGCACACAUUGGAAUUUCGCUAACUCCUCCGAAGGCUUUCGUUCCACCGGCACCACAUUUGCUCAGGCCAAUCUACACCCCAUGGCCAUUAAAAGUUAUUCAAAUCAUGACGCUGCACCCCACGGUUUAGGUUCUAGGGGGAGCCAAAGAUAACCGUAAAAUCCACAUAUUUAAAAGUCUUAUAACUUUUUAUUUUUGUCCCCACUGGCCUCCAAGUUUUCUAGGAUGAUGCAAUGUCCAGCCAUCAACACAUUUGUGAAGGAAUUUUUACUCGGCAAAAGAGCGCCCCCCAUGGCAGGAGAAAAAAGUCAAUUUUUUCUUGUCCACUAAGGUGAAAAUACACAUUGUUGAGUGCUACGCCUGUAUGUUUUGUCGUAUUGACACAAAAUUUUACAUACACGUGUAUUUACAUAAGAUCUUCGAAAAAGUCAAUGGCCACGUAUCUGUUAAAUGUACGGUUAAAGGGUUAUUUCGCAUUUUUUGCAGAUUCGCACACAUUGGAAUUUCGCUAAUUCCUCCGAAGGCUUUCGUUCCACCGGCACCACAUUUGCUCAGGCCAAUCUACACCCCAUGGCCAUUAAAAGUUAUUCAAAUCAUGACGCUGCACCCCACGGUUUAGGUUCUAGGGGGCGCCAAAUAUAACCCUAAAAUCCACAUAUUUAAAAGUCUUAUAACUUUUUAUUUUUGUCCUCACUGGCCUCCAUGUUUUCUAGGAUGAUGCAAUGUCCAGCCAUCAACACAUUUGUGAAGGAGUUUUUUCUCUUUAAAAGAGCGCCCCCCAUGGCAGGAGAAUAAAGUCAAGUUUUUCCUGUUCAUCAUUCAAUGGCUCAAACGCACUGCUCUCUCGGCAAAAGCGAAAGGAGGAGCAACUUGCCAUUUGGAUAUAUCUUAGCUGUGUUUGUGCCCUCACUCAUGGUCCAGACUUUUUUUAAAUAGGACAUGGAGUUUUUCUGCAGCGAGCGUUUUGGUAGAAACUGCGCCUCCUGUUCAUUAUAAUGGUAAAUGACCACAAACAAGUGCGCACACCAUCUUUGGACCUUGAGUGUGACGCGAUCGGGUGGGGGAGGCGGUCGCGCUGGGGGCGGCGUGACACGGCUCGGGCCCGCCAGUGCCCCAACGGGGCCCUAGUUAUUAUUAUUAUUUUUCCUCCCCUUUGAACUGGAAAAUGGCCCACUUCCCACUGGCGAAAACUCAUGAAAUUUGGCAGGACGACCGGGCCUGGUGAAAAAUUUGAUAUUCCGAAGUCGCCCAAACAAGAAAAUGCAAAAUGGCUCCAUAGCGCCCCCUAACGUGAAAAUUCACACUAUUCACUGUCACGCCUGUACGCUUUGUCAAAAUGACACAAAAAUUGACACACACAUGUAUCUCAAUAAGAUCUACAAAAAAGUCAGUGCGGGCGUAUCUGUCAAAUGUACGGUUAAAGGGUUAUUGCGCAUUUUUUGCCGAUCCGCACACAUUGGAAUUUCGCUAACUCCUCCGAAGGCUUUCGUUCCACCGGCACCACAUUUGCUCAGGCCAAUCUACACCCCAUGGCCAUUAAAAGUUAUUCAAAUCAUGACGCUGCACCCCACGGUUUAGGUUCUAGGGGGCGCCAAAAAUAACCCUAAAAUCCACAUAUUUCAAAGUCUUAUAACUUUUUAUUUUUGCCCUCACUGGCCUCCAAGUUUUCUAGGAUGAUGCAAUGUCCAGCCAUCAACACAUUUGUGAAGGAAUUUUUACUCCCCAAAAGAGCGCCCCCCCAUGGCAGGAGAAAAAAGUCCAUUUUUUCUUGUCCCAUAAGGUGAAAAUUCACACUAUUGACUGUCACGCCUGUACGCUUUGUCAAAAUUACACAAAAAUUGACACACACAUGUAUCUCAAUAAGAUCUACAAAAAAGUCAGUGCUGGCGUAUCUGUCAAAUGUACGGUUAAAGGGUUAUUGCGCAUUUUUUGCCGAUCCGCACACAUUGGAAUUUCGCUAACUCCUCCGAAGGCUUUCGUUCCACCGGCACCACAUUUGCUCAGGCCAAUCUACACCCCAUGGCCAUUAAAAGUUAUUCAAAUCAUGACGCUGCACCCCACAGUUUAGGUUCUAGGGGGCGCCAAAGAUAACCCAAAAAUCCACAUAUUUAAAAGUCUUAUAACUUUUUAUUUUUGUCCUCUCUGGCCUCCAAGUUUUCUAGGAUGAUGCAAUGUCCAGCCAUCAACACAUUUGUGAAGGAAUUUUUACUCCCCAAAAGAGCGCCCCCCCAUGGCAGGAGAAAAAAGUCCAUUUUUUCUUGUCCCAUAAGGUGAAAAUACACAUUGUUGACUGUCAUACCUGUAUGCUUUGUCAUAUUGACACAAAAUUUGACACACACAUGUAUCUCAAUAAGAUCUACGAAAAAGUCAAUGCGCGCGUAUCUGUAAAAUGUACGGUUAAAGGGCUAUUUUGCAUUUUUUGCCGAUUAGCACACAUUGGAAUGUGGCUAACUCCUCCUAAGGCUUUCGUCCCACUGACACCAAAUUUGCUCAGGCCAAUCUACACCCCAUGGCCAUUCAAAGUUUUAAAAAUCAUGACGCUGCACCCCACGGUUUACGUUCUAGGGGGCGCCAAAGAUGACCCAAAUAUCCACAUUCUUAAAAGAAUCCACAUCCCCCCCCCCCCCAUCCCCCAUCCCCCAUGGCAGGAGAAACAGUCAAGUUUUUCCUGCCCAUCACUCAAUGGCUCAAUCGCAUCGCUCUCCCGGCAACACCGUAACGAGGAGCAACUUGCCGUUUGGAUAUAUCCUAGCUGUGUUUGUGCCCUCACUCAUGGUCCACACUUUUUUCAAAUAGGACAUGUAGUUUGUCUGCAGCGAGUGUUUUGGUAGAAACUGCGCCUCCCAUUCAUUAUAAUGGGAAAUGACCACAGACAAGUGCGCACACCAUCUUUGGACCUUGAGUGUGACGCGAUCGGGAGGGGGAGGCGGUCGCACUGGGGGCGGCGCAACGCGGCUCGGGCCCGCCAGUGCCCCAACGGGGUCCUAGUUUUUCUUUUUCCUCCCCUUUGAACUGGAAAAUGGCCCACUUCCCACUGGCGAAAACUCAUGAAAUUUGGCAGGACGACCGGGCCUGGUGAAAAAUUUCAUAUUCCGAAGUCGCCCAAACAAGAAAAUGCAAAAUGGCUCCAUAGCGCCCCCUAAGGUGAAAAUUCACACUAUUCACUGUCACGCCUGUACGCUUUGUCAAAAUGACACAAAAAUUGACACACACAUGUAUCUCAAUAAGAUCUACAAAAAAGUCAGUGCGGGCGUAUCUGUCAAAUGUACGGUUAAAGGGUUAUUUCGCAUUUUUUGCCGAUCCGCACACAUUGGAAUUUCGCUAACUCCUCGGAAGGCUUUCGUUCCACCGGCACCACAUUUGCUCAGGCCAAUCUACACCCCGUGGCCAUUAAAAGUUAUCAAAAUCAUGACGCUGCACCCCAAGGUUUAGGUUCUAGGGGGCGCCAAAGAUAACACUAAAAUCCACAUAUUUAAAAGUCUUAUAACUUUUUAUUUUUGUCCUCACUGGCCUCCAAGUUUUCUAGGAUGAUGCAAUGUCCAGCCAUCAACACAUUUGUGAAGGAAUUUUUACUCCCCAAAAGAGCGCCCCCCCAUGGCAGGAGAAAAAAGUCCAUUUUUUCUUGUCCCCUAAGGUGAAAAUACACAUUGUUGAGUGUCACGCCUCUACGCUUUGUCAAAAUGACACAAAAAUUGACACACACAUGUAACUCAAUAAGAUCUACGAAAAAGUCAAUGCGCGCGUAUCUGUCAAAUGUACGGUUAAAGGGUUAUUCUGCAUUUUUUGCCGAUCCGCACACAUUGGAAUUUCGCUAACUCCUCCGAAGGCUUUCGUUCCACCGGCACCACAUUUGCUCAGGCCAAUCUACACCCCAUGGCCAUUAAAAGUUAUUCAAAUCAUGAUGCUGCACCCCAUGGUUUAGGUUCUAGGGGGCGCCAAAAAUAACCCAAAAAUCCACAUUCUUAAAUGUUUUAUAACUUUUUAUUUUUGUCCUCACUGGCCUCCAAGUUUUCUAGGAUGAUGCAAUGUCCAGCCAUCAACACAUUUGUGAAGGAAUUUUUACUCCCCAAAAGAGCGCCCCCCAUGGUAGGAGAAAAAAGUCAAUUUUUUCUUGUCCCCUUACAUGAAAAUACACAUUGUUGAGUGUCACGCCUAUACGCUUUGUCAUAUUGACACAAAAAUUGACAAUCAUGUGUAUCUCAAUUAGAUCUACGAAAAAGUCAAAGAGCGCGUAUCUGUAUAAUGUACGGUUAAAGGGCUAUUUUGCAUUUUUUGCCGAUUUGCACACAUUGGAAUGUGGCUAUCUCCUCCUAAGGCUUUCGUCCCACCGAUACCAAAUUUGCUCAGGGCAAUCUACACCCCAUGCCCAUUCAAAGUUGUAAAAAUCAUGACGCUGCACCCCACGGUUUACGUUCUAGGGGGCGCCAAAGAUGACCCAAAAAUCCACAUUCUUAAAAGUCAUUUUGGCCACUGCAGGAGUACAGAGUACUGCAGUUCUAGGGGGCGCCAAAGAUGACCCAAAAAUCCACAUUCUUAAAAGUCUUUUUAGCCACUGCAGGAGUACAGAGUACUGCAGGAUACACACACAUAUACACACACGCCAACAUACACACACACACACACAGACACACAGACACACACACACACUCAGAGUCUGUUUUUUAGCACCUGCAAAAACAUGCUGUUUACAUAUUUGACAAGAAUGCAGAGGCUUCCUUUUGCCCCUGAAAAAAAUCAAAUUUCAAACACAACUUGACUGUUCAUUUCUCCAAAAGACAACCAUGAAGCUCCAUUUCAAACCUGAAGCAGAUAGUUGGUGUAUGUGUACAGUAACCUGAGGGGAGUGAGGUGACUAUUUCUGAGGAGAACAUGAGCAGUGAAGAUUCACCUUGGAGCUAGAACAGGGACGUGCACAUGAUUAUACAGGGGCAGGGGCUCAAGUUUUUUCCAGUCAUUUAUACAAUAUGGAAAUUAAUGUGAAAUUAAACCACAAAUAUGUGUGAUGAACUGUUUUUAAAACUUAAACUUCAAAUAAAAAUUGUAAACUUCAAAACAUAUGCAAAUUUUUAACAAAGAGCAUAGUAAUUUACCUCUAUUUACAUCAAAAUGCAGGCAAUGGCCCAGGCGUUCUUUGUAAAAUUAUUUACAAAACACUGUAUAGUCUCACAAAUGUCACUUUUUAUUUAUGCCACUACAAAAAAACAUGAUGUAAAUGAUGCAUGAUGUAAAACAUGAUGUAAAAAACUUGUGUAGAUCCUCCUCUAUGUCAGUCCAUGUGUAAUUUUUCCAUAAUUCUUUGUUUUUUGCAGCAUUUUUGUUAGUGUAACUGCAGAUUGUGCUGACAGUGUCUAUGGCACAAAAAAAAAAAAAAUUAAAAUGCCUCAACAUGAACCCCUGGUGGUCUCUGAGGGUGAAACCUGCUAACUGCUGCAGCUCUGUCAGCUUCAGUCUCCCAUGCAGAGCUCUGAGCGCAUGUGUGGCUCUGCACCCUUAGCAGCGUUGCUAACUCCUCAGUAAGGAAAGCCUGCUUCAUGUCAGAGUCUCUAAACUCCAGAAGAAGUCGAUAAAAGUCCCUUUCUUUCUAAAAAAAAGUCGUUAGGGGGUCUGAAAAGUCAUUGAGUCUAACAACAAAGUCGCUAGGUUUGCAACUACGUGUCCCAGACUGCAUCCCUGCUGAGAGUCCCUCCCUCCCUUCUCAUGUUGCAGGAAGAACGUAAGCGCCCGCCCCUUGUCAAUCAGUCACCAUAUAAUUUUGGAUUGGUUGUUGUGGUGAAGUUUUCCACCAAUAGGAGAGAUGUUGUGGUGUGUUUUUUUUUUCUUUUGGCAAGCCUUUUCCGCCUGUAAGACCUGUCGCUAAUGUCUUCAUGCUAUGUUUUCCUGUCUCAUACAGCGCGAUCGAGCGCCGAACGUGAUCAAAAUAAGCAGAAAAAAAGUAUCGCGGACAUAAUUUAUCAUAACUCUGGUUUUAUUUGGCCUAUCAACACAAUUUAAAAACUGGUAUAUAGGUUGAGGUCCUCACUUUUGAGAUAAGUUGAAACGGAGAGUCAACGAGGCUCCGUCUUGCAGCUACAUCCGGUUAAAUAUGUCAUGUGACUUGAACGCACACACACACACGCACACACACACACACACACACACACACACACACACACACACACACACACACACACUCAGAGUCUGGUUUUUAGCACCUGCAAAAACAUGCUGUUUACAUAUUUGACAAGAAUGCAGAGGCUUCCUUUUGCCCCUGAAAAAAAUCAAAUUUCAAACACAACUUGACUGUUCAUUUCUCCAAAAGACAACCAUGAAGCUCCAUUUCAAACCUGAAGCAGAUAGUUGGUGCAUGUGUACAGUAACCUGAGGGGAGUGAGGUGACUAUUUCUGAGGAGAACAUGAGCAGUGAAGAUUCACCUUGGAGCUAGAACAGAGACAUGCACAUGAUUAUACAGGGACAGGGGCUCAAGUUUUUUCCAGUCGUUUAUACAAUAUGGAAAUUAAUGUGAAAUUAAAACACAAAGUAUUAAUAGAAAGGUAAUGACUGUCCUGUGUAGGUGACAGUGAUAUCCAAUAGGCUAGGCACUCACGAGGCUGGCUGUGGCAAGUGUAAGUGAAAGCAACACGCACUGGCAGGAAGAACAGCAAACGCCGAUGAAGGAAAAGGGUCUUUGCAGUGAUGGGCGUUACCAGAGAGGGCGAUGGCCAGAGGACACAAAUGGGACGGGAAGGCAGCACGUUGGGGGGGGGGGGACGCGACACGGCUCGGGCCCGCCAGUGCCCCAACGGGGUCCUAGUUAUUUUUCCUCCCCUUUGAACUGGAAAAUGGCCCACUUCCCACUGGCGAAAACUCAUGAAAUUUGGCAGGACGACCGGGCCUGGUGAAAAAUUUGAUAUUCCGAAGUCGCCCAAACAAGAAAAUGCAAAAUGGCUCCAUAGCGCCCCCUAAGGUGAAAAUUCACACUAUUCACUGUCACGCCUGUACGCUUUGUCAAAAUGACACAAAAAUUGACACACACAUGUAUCUCAAUAAGAUCUACAAAAAAGUCAGUGCGGGCGUAUCUGUCAAAUGUACGGUUAAAGGGUUAUUUCGCAUUUUUUGCCGAUCCGCACACAUUGGAAUUUCGCUAACUCCUCCGAAGGCUUUGUUCCACCGGCACCACAUUUGCUCAGGCCAAUCUACACCCCAUGGCCAUUAAAAGUUAUUCAAAUCAUGACGCUGCACCCCACGGUUUAGGUUCUAGGGGGCGCCAAAGAUAACCCUAAGAUCCACAUAUUUAAAAGUCUUAUAACUUUUUAUUUUUGCCCUCACUGGCCUCCAAGUUUUCUAGGAUGAUGCAAUGUCCAGCCAUCAACACAUUUGUGAAGGAAUUUUUACUCCCCAAAAGAGCGCCCCCCCAAGGCAGGAGAAAAAAGUCCAUUUUUUCUUGUCCCCUAAGGUGAAAAUUCACACUAUUGACUGUCACGCCUGUACGCUUUGUCAAAAUGACACAAAAAUUGACACACACAUGUAUCUCAAUAAGAUCUACAAAAAAGUCCAUGCGCGCGUAUCUGUCUAAUGUACGGUUAAAGGGUUAUUUCGCAUUUUUUGCCGAUCCGCACACAUUGGAAUUUCGCUAACUCCUCCGAAGGCUUUCGUUCCACCGGCACCACAUUUGCUCAGGCCAAUCUACACCCCAUGGCCAUUAAAAGUUAUUCAAAUCAUGACGCUGCACCCCACGGUUUAGGUUCUAGGGGGCGCCAAAGAUAACCCUAAAAUCCACAUAUUUAAUAGUCUUAGAACUUUUUAUUUUUGCCCUCACUGGCCUCCAAGUUUUCUAGGAUGAUGCAAUGUCCAGCCAUCAACACAUUUGUGAAGGAAUUUUUACUCCCCAAAAGAGCGCCCCCCCAUGGCAGGAGAAAAAAGUCCAUUUUUUCUUGUCCCCUAAGGUGAAAAUUCACACUAUUGACUGUCACGCCUGUACGCUUUGUCAAAAUGACACAAAAAUUGACACACACAUGUAUCUCAAUAAGAUCUACAAAAAAGUCCAUGCGAGCGUAUCUGUCUAAUGUACGGUUAAAGGGUUAUUUCGCAUUUUUUGCCGAUCCGCACACAUUGGAAUUUCGCUAACUCCUCCGAAGGCUUUCGUUCCACCGGCACCACAUUUGCUCAGGCCAAUCUACACCCCAUGGCCAUUAAAAGUUAUUCAAAUCAUGACGCUGCACCCCACGGUUUACGUUCUAGGGGGCGCCAAAGAUAACCCAAAAAUCCACAUUUUUAAAAGUCUUAUAACUUUUUAUUUUUGUCCUCACUGGCCUCCAAGUUUUCUAGGAUGAUGCAAUGUCCAGCCAUCAACACAUUUGUGAAGGAAUUUUUAUUAGGGCCCGAGCCAGCUGCAGAGCAGCCGGGCGUAGGCCCUGUUAUUCCUGUAGGGGUUUUUCUUUGUUAGGGCCCGAGCGUAGCUGCUAAGCAGCUGCGAGAGCCCUCUUGUUCCUGCAUGUUUCCUUCUUUUUAGGGCCCGAGCGUAGCUGCUAAGCAGCUGCGAGAGCCCUAUUAUUCCCCAAGUGGUUUUUCUUUGUUUCUUUCUUUCUUCUUUUUCCUCCCCUUUGAACUGGAAAAUGGCCCACUUCCCACUGGCGAAAACUCAUGAAAUUUGGCAGGAUGACCGGGCCUGGUGAAAAAUUUGAUAUUCCGAAGUCGCCCAAACAAGAAAAUGCAAAAUGGCUCCAUAGCGCCCCCUAAGGUGAAAAUUCACACUAUUGACUGUCACGCCUUUACGCUUUGUCAAAAUGACACAAAAAUUGACACACAUAUGUAUCUCAAUAAGAUCUACAAAAAAGUCAGUGCGGGCGUAUCUGUCAAAUGUACGGUUAAAGGGUUAUUUCGCAUUUUUUGCCGAUCCGCACACAUUGGAAUUUCGCUAACUCCUCCGAAGGCUUUCGUUCCACCGGCACCACAUUUGCUCAGGCCAAUCUACACCCCAUGGCCAUUAAAAGUUAUUCAAAUCAUGACGCUGCACCCCACGGUUUAGGUUCUAGGGGGCGCCAAAGAUAACCCUAAAAUCCACAUAUUUAAAAGUCUUAUAACUUUUUAUUUUUGCCCUCACUGGCCUCCAAGUUUUCUAGGAUGAUGCAAUGUCCAGCCAUCAACACAUUUGUGAAGGAAUUUUUACUUCCCAAAAGAGCGCCCCCCCAUGGCAGGAGAAAAAAGUCAAUUUUUUCUUGUCCCGUAAGGUGAAAAUACACAUUGUUGAGUGUCACGCCUGUACGCUUUGUCAAAAUGACACAAAAAUUGACACACACAUGUAUCUCAAUAAGAUCUACAAAAAAGUCCGUGAGCGCGUAUCUGUCAAAUGUAAGGUUAAAGGGUUAUUCCGCAUUUUUUGCCGAUUCGCACACAUUGGAAUUUCGCUAACUCCUCCGAAGGCUUUCGUUCCACCGGCACCACAUUUGCUCAGGCCAAAUUACACCCCAUGGCCAUUAAAAGUUAUUCAAAUCAUGACGCUGCACCCCACGGUUUACGUUCUAGGGGGCGCCAAAGAUAACCCAAAAAUCCACAUUUUUAAAAGUCUUAUAACUUUUUAUUUUUGUCCUCACUGGCCUCCAAGUUUUCUAGGAUGAUGCAAUGUCCAGCCAUCAACACAUUUGUGAAGGAAUUUUUACUCCCUAAAAGAGCGCCCCCCCAUGGCAGGAGAAAAAAGUCCAUUUUUUCUUGUCCCCUAAGGUGAAAAUACACAUUGUUGACUGUCACGCCUGUACGCUUUGGCAAAAUGACACAAAAAUUGACAAUCAUGUGUAUCUCAAUUAGAUCUACGAAAAAGUCAAAGAGCGCGUAUCUGUAUAAUGUACGGUAAAAGGGCUAUUUUGCAUUUUUUGCCGAUUCGCACACAUUGGAAUUUCGCUAACUCCUCCUAAGGCUUUCGUCCCACUGACACCAAAUUUGCUCAGGCCAAUCUACACUCCAUGGCCAUUCAAAGUUGUAAAAAUCAUGACGCUGCACCCCACGGUUUACGUUUUAGGGGGCGCCAAAGAUGACCCAAAUAUACAUUACAGUAGACAAAGUAGUUUUGCCCACUGAGUGGCGCCAAAGGGACUUGUCUGUGGAGUCUGUGAGUCACUAUUGGCCGUUUUUGACUACUUUAGAUUUUACCUUUAUAUUUCCUCUUACAAAAUUUUUACCUUGCCUUGCCUGGUAUCAUUUUUUUCAGCACAACCUCACCUGUGUCAAUUUACAGUUAUUUUAUCAUUUUGACAUACUAUAUUUACACAUUGGACCCAAAUUCACACACAAAACAUAAAAUCCGAGUGGAAAAAAGUAACGUUUUUACUGUGAAAACCACAAAUAUGUGUGAUGAACUGUUUUUAAAACUUAAACUUCAAAUAAAAAUUGUAAACUUCAAAACAUAUGCAAAUUUUUAACAAAGAACAUAGUAAUUUACCUCUAUUUACAUCAAAAUGCAGGCAAUGGCCCAGGUGUUCUUUGUAAAAUUAUUUACAAAACACUGUAUAGUCUCACAAAUGUCACUUUUUAUUUAUGCCACUACAAAAAAACAUGAUGUAAAUGAUGCAUGAUGUAAAACAUGAUGUAAAAAACUUGUGUAGAUCCUCCUCUAUGUUAGUCCAUGUGUAAUUUUUCCAUAAUUCUUUGUUUUUUGCAGCAUUUUUGUUAGUGUAACUGCAGAUUGUGCUGACAGUGUCUAUGGCACAAAAAAAAAAAAAACUGAAAAUGCCUCAACAUGAACCCCUGGUGGUCUCUGAGGGUGAAACCUGCUAACUGCUGCAGCUCUGUCAGCUUCAGUCUCCCAUGCAGAGCUCGGAGCGCAUGUGUGGCUCUGCACCCUUAGCAGCGUUGCUAACUCCUCAGUAAGGAAAGCCUGCUUCAUGUCAGAGUCUCUAAACUCCAGAAGAAGUCGAUAAAAGUCACUUUCUUUCUAAAAAAAAGUCGUUAGGGGGUCUGAAAAGUCAUUGAAUCUAACAACAAAGUCGCUAGGUUUGCAACUACGUGUCCCAGACUGCAUCCCUGCUGAGAGUCCCUCCCUCCCUUCUCAUAUUGCAGGAAGAACGUAAGCGCCCGCCCCUUGUCAAUCAGUCACCAUAUAAUUUUGGAUUGGUUGUUGUGGUGAAGUUUUCCACCAAUAGGAGAGAUGUUGUGGUGUGCUUUUUUUUUCCUUUGGCAAGCCUUUUCCGCCUGUAAGACCUGUCGCUAAUGUCUGCAUGCUAUGUUUUCCUGUCUCAUACAGCGCGAUCGAGCGCCGACCGUGAUCAAAAUAAGCAGAAAACAAGUAUCGCGGACAUAAUUUAUCAUAACUCUGGUUUUAUUUGGCCUAUCAACACAAUUUAAAAACUGGUAUAUAGGUUGAGGUCAUCACUUUUGAGAUAAGUUGAAACGGAGAGUCAACGAGGCUCCGUCUUGCAGCUACAUCCGGUUAAAUAUGUCAUGUGACUUGAACGCACACACACACACACACACAGACACACACACACACGCACACACACACACUCAGAGUCUGGUUUUUAGCACCUGCAAAAACAUGCUAUUUACAUAUUUGACAAGAAUGCAGAGGCUCCUUUUGCCCCUGAAAAAAAUCAAAUUUCAAACACAACUUGACUGGUCAUUUCUCCAAAAGACAACCAUGAAGCUCCAUCCAAACCUGAAGCAGGCAGUUGGUGCAUGUGUACAGUAACCUGAGGGGAGUGAGGUGAGUGCUUCUGAGGAGAACAUGAGCAGUGAAGAUUCACCUUAGAGCUAGAACAGAGACGUGCACAUGAUUAUACAGGGGCAGGGGCUCAAGUUUUUUCCAGUUGUUUAUACAAUAUGGAAAUUAAUGUGAAAUUAAAAAACAAAGUAUUAAUAGAAAGGUAAUGACUGUCCUGUGUAGGUGACAGUGAUAUCCAAUAGGCUAGGCACUCACGAGGCUGGCUGUGGCAAGUGUAAGUGAAAGCAACACGCACUGGCAGGAAGAACAGCAAACGCCGAUGAAGGAAAAGGGUCUUUGCAGUGAUGGGCGUUACCAGAGAGGGCGAUGGCCAGAGGACGCGAAUGGGACGGGGAGGCGGUCGCGCUGGGGGCGGCGCGACGCGGCUCGGGCCCGACAGUGCCCCACCGGGGCCCUAGUGUUAUUAGGGCCCGAGCCAGCUGCAGAGCAGCCGGGCGUAGGCCCUAUUAUUCCCCAAGUGGUUUUUCUUUGUUUCUUUCUUUCUUUCUUUCUUUAGGGCCCGAGCGUAGCUGCUAAGCAGCUGCGAGAGCCCUCUUGUUAGGGCCCGAGCCAGCUGCAGAGCAGCCGGGCGUAGGCCCUGUUAUUCCUGUAGGGGUUUUUCUUUGUUUCUUUCUUUCUUCUUUUUCCUCCCCUUUGAACUGGAAAAUGGCCCACUUCCCACUGGCGAAAACUCAGGAAAUUUGGCAGGACGACCGGGCCUGGUGAAAAAUUUGAUAUUCCGAAGUCGCCCAAACAAGAAAAUGCAAAAUGGCUCCAUAGCGCCCCCUAAGGUGAAAAUUCACACUAUUGACUGUCACGCCUGUACGCUUUGUCAAAAUGACACAAAAAUUGACACACACAUGUAUCUCAAUAAGAUCUACAAAAAAGUCAGUGCGGGCGUAUCUGUCAAAUGUACGGUUAAAGGGUUAUUUCGCAUUUUUUGCCGAUCCGCACACAUUGGAAUUUCGCUAACUCCUCCGAAGGCUUUCGUUCCACCGGCACCACAUUUGCUCAGGCCAAUCUACACCCCGUGGCCAUUAAAAGUUAUCAAAAUCAUGACGCUGCACCCCAAGGUUUAGGUUCUAGGGGGCGCCAAAGAUAACACUAAAAUCCACAUAUUUAAAAGUCUUAUAACUUUUUAUUUUUGUCCUCACUGGCCUCCAAGUUUUCUAGGAUGAUGCAAUGUCCAGCCAUCAACACAUUUGUGAAGGAAUUUUUACUCCCCAAAAGAGCGCCCCCCCAUGGCAGGAGAAAAAAGUCCAUUUUUUCUUGUCCCCUAAGGUGAAAAUACACAUUGUUGAGUGUCACGCCUCUACGCUUUGUCAAAAUGACACAAAAAUUGACACACACAUGUAACUCAAUAAGAUCUACGAAAAAGUCAAUGCGCGCGUAUCUGUCAAAUGUACGGUUAAAGGGUUAUUCUGCAUUUUUUGCCGAUCCGCACACAUUGGAAUUUCGCUAACUCCUCCGAAGGCUUUCGUUCCACCGGCACCACAUUUGCUCAGGCCAAUCUACACCCCAUGGCCAUUAAAAGUUAUUCAAAUCAUGAUGCUGCACCCCAUGGUUUAGGUUCUAGGGGGCGCCAAAAAUAACCCAAAAAUCCACAUUCUUAAAUGUUUUAUAACUUUUUAUUUUUGUCCUCACUGGCCUCCAAGUUUUCUAGGAUGAUGCAAUGUCCAGCCAUCAACACAUUUGUGAAGGAAUUUUUACUCCCCAAAAGAGCGCCCCCCCAUGGUAGGAGAAAAAAGUCAAUUUUUUCUUGUCCCCUUACAUGAAAAUACACAUUGUUGAGUGUCACGCCUGAACGCUUUGUCAUAUUGACACAAAAAUUGACAAUCAUGUGUAUCUCAAUUAGAUCUACGAAAAAGUCAAAGAGCGCGUAUCUGUAUAAUGUACGGUUAAAGGGCUAUUUUGCAUUUUUUGCCGAUUUGCACACAUUGGAAUGUGGCUAUCUCCUCCUAAGGCUUUCGUCCCACCGAUACCAAAUUUGCUCAGGGCAAUCUACACCCCAUGCCCAUUCAAAGUUGUAAAAAUCAUGACGCUGCACCCCACGGUUUACGUUCUAGGGGGCGCCAAAGAUGACCCAAAAAUCCACAUUCUUAAAAGUCAUUUUGGCCACUGCAGGAGUACAGAGUACUGCAGUUCUAGGGGGCGCCAAAGAUGACCCAAAAAUCCACAUUCUUAAAAGUCUUUUUAGCCACUGCAGGAGUACAGAGUACUGCAGGAUACACACACAUAUACACACACGCCAACAUACACACACACACACACACACACACAGACACACACACACACUCAGAGUCUGUUUUUUAGCACCUGCAAAAACAUGCUGUUUACAUAUUUGACAAGAAUGCAGAGGCUUCCUUUUGCCCCUGAAAAAAAUCAAAUUUCAAACACAACUUGACUGUUCAUUUCUCCAAAAGACAACCAUGAAGCUCCAUUUCAAACCUGAAGCAGAUAGUUGGUGUAUGUGUACAGUAACCUGAGGGGAGUGAGGUGACUAUUUCUGAGGAGAACAUGAGCAGUGAAGAUUCACCUUGGAGCUAGAACAGGGACGUGCACAUGAUUAUACAGGGGCAGGGGCUCAAGUUUUUUCCAGUCAUUUAUACAAUAUGGAAAUUAAUGUGAAAUUAAACCACAAAUAUGUGUGAUGAACUGUUUUUAAAACUUAAACUUCAAAUAAAAAUUGUAAACUUCAAAACAUAUGCAAAUUUUUAACAAAGAACAUAGUAAUUUACCUCUAUUUACAUCAAAAUGCAGGCAAUGGCCCAGGCGUUCUUUGUAAAAUUAUUUACAAAACACUGUAUAGUCUCACAAAUGUCACUUUUUAUUUAUGCCACUACAAAAAAACAUGAUGUAAAUGAUGCAUGAUGUAAAACAUGAUGUAAAAAACUUGUGUAGAUCCUCCUCUAUGUCAGUCCAUGUGUAAUUUUUCCAUAAUUCUUUGUUUUUUGCAGCAUUUUUGUUAGUGUAACUGCAGAUUGUGCUGACAGUGUCUAUGGCACAAAAAAGGAAAAAAUUAAAAUGCCUCAACAUGAACCCCUGGUGGUCUCUGAGGGUGAAACCUGCUAACUGCUGCAGCUCUGUCAGCUUCAGUCUCCCAUGCAGAGCUCUGAGCGCAUGUGUGGCUCUGCACCCUUAGCAGCGUUGCUAACUCCUCAGUAAGGAAAGCCUGCUUCAUGUCAGAGUCUCUAAACUCCAGAAGAAGUCGAUAAAAGUCCCUUUCUUUCUAAAAAAAAGUCGUUAGGGGGUCUGAAAAGUCAUUGAAUCUAACAACAAAGUCGCUAGGUUUGCAACUACGUGUCCCAGACUGCAUCCCUGCUGAGAGUCCCUCCCUCCCUUCUCAUGUUGCAGGAAGAACGUAAGCGCCCGCCCCUUGUCAUUCAGUCACCAUAUAAUUUUGGAUUGGUUGUUGUGGUGAAGUUUUCCACCAAUAGGAGAGAUGUUGUGGUGUGUUUUUUUUUUCUUUUGGCAAGCCUUUUCCGCCUGUAAGACCUGUCGCUAAUGUCUGCAUGCUAUGUUUUCCUGUCUCAUACAGCGCGAUCGAGCGCCGAACGUGAUCAAAAUAAGCAGAAAAAAAGUAUCGCGGACAUAAUUUAUCAUAACUCUGGUUUUAUUUGGCCUAUCAACACAAUUUAAAAACUGGUAUAUAGGUUGAGGUCCUCACUUUUGAGAUAAGUUGAAACGGAGAGUCAACGAGGCUCCGUCUUGCAGCUACAUCCGGUUAAAUAUGUCAUGUGACUUGAACGCACACACAGACACACACACACGCACACACACACACACACACACACACACACACACACACACACACACACACACACUCAGAGUCUGGUUUUUAGCACCUGCAAAAACAUGCUAUUUACAUAUUUGACAAGAAUGCAGAGGCUCCUUUUGCCCCUGAAAAAAAUCAAAUUUCAAACACAACUUGACUGGUCAUUUCUCCAAAAGACAACCAUGAAGCUCCAUCCAAACCUGAAGCAGGCAGUUGGUGCAUGUGUACAAUAACCUGAGGGGAGUGAGGUGAGUGCUUCUGAGGAGAACAUGAGCAGUGAAGAUUCACCUUGGUGCUAGAACAGAGACAUGCACAUGAUUAUACAGGGGCAGGGGCUCAAGUUUUUUCCAGUCGUUUAUACAAUAUGGAAAUUAAUGUGAAAUUAAAACACAAAGUAUUAAUAGAAAGGUAAUGACUGUCCUGUGUAGGUGACAGUGAUAUCGAAUAGGCUAGGCACUCACGAGGCUGGCUGUGGCAAGUGUAAGUGAAAGCAACACGCACUGGCAGGAAGAACAGCAAACGCCGAUGAAGGAAAAGGGUCUUUGCAGUGAUGGGCGUUACCAGAGAGGGCGAUGGCCAGAGGACACAAAUGGGACGGGGAGGCAGCACGUUGGGGGGGGGGGGGGGGGGGCUCGGGCCCGCCAGUGCCCCAACGGGGUCCUAGUUAUCUUAUUAGCAUAGUAAUCCAUUGAUAUUAUUGCUUACCAGGACAUGGGUAUGAACAUUAUAAAGGGAACUUUAAAUGAUUUCUAAGAGUCUAAAAUACACAGGGAUAAUAGAACUUGUUGUAAAAUACUUUGAGGUCCUAAAUUUAAAAAGCUGGCUCUGUGGUUGGAUUCAAGUUGGACUCAGUGUAGGAUGUGGUGGAGAGAUGUACGCUGAGGAAGGUGGAGACUAUUUUAAAGAACAUGGAUUACCCACUUCAUAACACCUUGAUGGACCAAAGGGCCUAAGGUGGUGGACGGCUCCUCUCUCCUCGCUGCAGGACAAAAAGAUUCAGAAGAUCUUUUGUACCCACAGCCAUCAGACUUUACAAUUCUUAAUAGCAGAUGACUUUUUGAGAUAUGACAAAUUUCCCUUCAGGGAAAUAAUAAAGUUCUCCUUACCUUAAAUACAUUUUUAAUAAACUCGUAUGAGCACUUUGGAUUUUUAGUUCUUAUUAAUUUGAUUGAUGGGUUAUCAAACAGGGCAAUUGCCAAUUCCAGGAUUUGACUCAACUUGGCUUUUGAUAAAUGUAUAGUUAAGGAUAGCCAUAUGGUGGGUUAAGCAAAAGCACAUAAUAAUGACAUUAGCUUUGGGUGGAUGUUGGUUCAUUUUGUUUCUCUUAUAAAAAAUGAUUCAUGUUUGUUUUCAUUGUGUCUUACAGGUAUCGUGUCCAGUCUCCCCACUCU